UUUUUUUUUUUGACUUGGUCAUAUUCUUUCUUUGAUUUGCUAGAUUUGAUGCCAAAAGCAUGCUCGAGAAGCUACGGAACAGAAGAGUAGUAUUUGUUGGUGAUUCAAUUGGAAGGAACCAAUGGGAGUCUCUACUUUGUAUGCUCUCUACUGCUGUUCAUAACAAGAGCUCGAUCUAUGAAGUUAAUGGGAAUCCCAUCACAAAGCACAUGGGUUUCUUGAUUUUCAACUUUAGAGACUACAAUUGCACUGUGGAAUACUACAGAUCCCCUUUUAUAGUCCUUCAAGGUCGUGCGCCAGCUGGAGCCCCUGAGAUUGUCAAGUAUACAAUUCGAGUGGAUGCCAUGGAUUGGAUGUCUGACCGGGGUAAAUGGAAGGAUGCUGAUGUAUUGAUUUUCAACACUGGCCAUUGGUGGAACGAUGAGAAAACAAUCAGGGGGUAAGCAUAACUUCUUGGAUUAUGGACUUUAGGGCCUGUUUAGAUCAUGCCGUAAAGGCAAAAAAUUUUUGCAAAAACGGCGUUUUUGUCUUUACGCAUCUAAACGGACCGGCGCAUUUUUUUUGGCAUUUGGGCCCUGUAAACGCAAAAUUUUUUUGCGACGGAAUCUUGCCAAUUUGAAGCACUAAAUGAAGUCUAUUUACAAAACUUUUUGCACAGAUGGGCUGUAAAUCGCGAGACGAAUCUAAUGAUGCUAAUUAAUCCAUGAUUAAGCAAUAAUUAGCGGAUGGUUACUGUAGCAUCACUGUUGCAAACAUGGAUUAAGUAGGCUCAUUAGAUUCGUCUCGCGAUUUACAGCCCAUCCAUGCAAAAAGUUUUGUAAAUAGACUUCAUUUAGUACUUCAAAUUGGCAAGAUUCCUUCGAAAAUUUUGCGUUUACGGCUUUUUUGCGUUUACGGGGUGGGAGCUGUAAACGCAAAAACUUGUAAACUUUUACAGCCCCCAUUUUGCGUUUACACCUUUUUGCAUUUACAGGUCAUCUAAACAGGCCCUUAAUAGUAUUCUAUACCUCACUUGGCAGCAAUUCUUUUAAGAUGUGAAUGAUAUUUAUUAAGAUCGCAGUGAUAUUACCUUCAGCUAGUUCUUUUCAUCAAUAAUUUCUUGGAGAAAUAACUAUCUGAUCCAUAUGUUCAAGAUUAUUUUCACUAUUGUUUUUUUUUUGUUGAAAUGUGAUCAUCAAGUUCAAAUUCCACCAUUCAAUUUCAGACUUAAUGUAUUUAUACUGCUACCAGUGGUGUGAUAGCACUUCUAGUUCGUAUAUGUUAAUGUAUUUAUACUGCUACCAGUGGUGUGAUAGCACUUCUAUUUCAUAUAUGUUAGUGUCUAGUUAUCCACACCCAUGAGGCCGGGACAUGUAUUCAUAUAUAUGAUUUGCUGUUAGCUAUUGGAUAAAAUUAUGUGAUCCUAAGACUAUUAUGUAUUUGGGAUGUUGGGAUGGGGUUACUGAUUUUCUGAUUGGUAACACACUAUAAGAUGACUGAUAAAUCAUACGUUAUAACUCCUUUUUUUAGGGGAAAAAACUUCACAUUUUCUGAUCACCAUAGCUGUCUUAUGUCUGCUUGAAGCUGAUUUGCUGUUAUGUGCUAAAUCAGGGGUGCCUACUUCCGAGAAGGUGAUGAGGUGAAAAUGGAUAUGACUGUUACAGAUGCUUACCGAAGAUCAAUACAGACAUUGUCCGAUUGGCUUCACAGAGAAGUUAACACAAGCAAGACCCAUGUCAUCUACCGUACAUAUGCUCCUGUGCAUUUCAGGUAUGUGUAAUCAUUCACUUUCCAGUGAUCACAUCCUUCAUCUGUUUCCUUGCUCAAGAAUACAUUGUUAAGAUGUGUUUCCUGCGAAUAAGUUAAACUGUCUCUUUAACCAGGAGUCAUAUAUAUUAACACUGUGAAUAUGUGCAGAGGUGGUGACUGGAAGACUGGAGGGAGCUGUCACUCGGAAACUCUUCCAGAUUUGACCCCACCCGAAUGGCUGGAAGAAUGGGGUGACCUGCUUAAACCUGUGAGUGAUGUUCUAGGGAACAAUCUGAAUCCCAAGCUUUCUGGAGUAGAUGUGCUGAAUGUGACGCGGAUGACAGCUCAGCGGAAAGAUGGCCAUCUCUCAGUAUACCUAAGCCCUUCAGGACCUGUGCCCCACUACAAACAGGAUUGCAGCCACUGGUGCCUGCCAGGUGUCCCAGACACCUGGAAUGAGCUUCUCUACGCCCUCAUCAUGAAGAGGCGUAUGAAGAUGGAUCAGAAUGUUUCCCUUGCUGGCACUAUAACACUGAACACUGGCUGAUAAUGACAAUCAACUGAGUGCUCUGCUCUCUGAAGUCUGAAGAAGGGAUGUGGUAAGGUAAAUCCAGCAGCUGCUCAUGGCAAAGCAAACUUCAUAGUCAUCCUGGGCGAUGGCACACAUGCCAAUUAGCUAGGAUGCCAGACACAUUUUUGGAUAGUGGGUGUCAGUUUGUAGGAAGCUGCAGCACCCUGCCGGUGUUUUGUACAUGUCGAGGUUAGUGUAUAGCUGAGCAGAGGGUAGAAGACCGUUCAGCUUUGAAGGAAAACGGUGUGUUUCAUGCAGAUGAUAUUAGUGUUAGCGGUGGUGAACAUAGCUAGCUAGGGCGCUAAAGUGAAUGAUGUAAAUAUAUAUAUAACGGCGUCGUCGGAAUGGGCAAUGUGGUUUUAACUGAAGCUCACUGCAGGUGUCAGCUGCGUGUGAUUCGAGAAUCUGUAAGCAGUAAGCUGCAAUAUUCUUCCACUGCUCGACCUCUGCAAGGAGGCGAGGCAGAUCUUGGAGCAGUUGCCGUAGCACAAGCAGCAGAACCCCGCAAGCCCGGCCACCUGAUGCUCCUCUGACAGCAAGAUGAGCAUGCAGUCAGCGCAGCGGCUGCCACUCUCUUCUCUUCCAUCCUUGUCUUCUCCUCAUGCCUGCAAUAGAACCAUAGGAUGAUCAAAAGGGAUAGCUUCUGCAAAACAAUGGAGGUGGAAUCAAAUUCAUGGAUAAUUGCAGAAACGAGAUGAUUCUUCUUCUGAAGUUCUGAUACAUUGUUGCAGAAGCUUUCCAACGAUCUGCUACGCAGCCUGAAAGAGAAAUGCUAUGUACAGUGUCACUGACACACGAAUUGUGACUUGUUUCUAUUUCCACAUAGACAUGGAAUAAUACCACAUUAAGUAUGUCAGAUUCAGACCAAUUUCAGCUUGUGGAGCAAAAGAAAUAACAACUACUUGGUCCUUUCAGAAGUUUUUGGACCAAGCAGGGAACCUGAUUGCCAAUCCAGGAGAAGCUUGCACGACACUGCUUCAAGACAUUAUCAGAACCAUGCGUUUGUUGGAAAUGCACAUUGCUUGGUUAAGUCUCUUGACCCAGCUGUUGGCUGCGACACUCUGAUCUGAAUAAUGUCAGAUAUUCAGUCGUCGAUUCAUUUCGAAAGUGGAGAACUUCACAAGUAUGCCAGACCAGGGCAUCUUGAGCAUGUCAAACGAAAGCCAUGUCAUCAACUGCACUGUAUCAAUUGUGAGGCAGAGCACGUUGAAUUUCAUGAUGUCCAGCUAAUGAAAACCGGCAGUGAUUCAUCAGAAUUCAGAACAGUAGGCAGAUCUGUCAAAGUUGGUAUGAAUGGAGGUAACGUAAUGCAACUUACCCAUGGUGAUAGGAUACCAGGAGUGCUGGACAUGCAUUGUAUCAUGCAAAACAUAAGAAGAAAUGAACUGGAGCUACAUAGAAGUUGAGAGCGCUCGAUCAAAGCCAAUCUUUCAGAAGUGCCAUACCCUUCGUCAGAAACAAACUGCACAAGCUGCGCGAGCAGAGAGAUUUACAGGGCAGGGAGAAGGCGCGGUACCGACCAACCUGCCAUGGCCUGCUGCUCGAGCUCAAGCGCGCGCGCCGCUGUUCGGCGUGCUGGCUCGGGUCCGACGACCGCCAAUGUGCGGGACUGGCUGCGGGAGGGCUGGGAUCCUGAGGCCACGCUUCGGAUGGAUACAGGGCUCGGCGCUCCCGGCUGGCACUGAAGGUGGGGAGCACAGGCGCAGCGGUGGCGCCGGGUCAUCGUCGGCGGACGGGCCGCCGGAGGGACGGAGCCGAAAUCGAGAUCGAAACGAGGGGGCAAAUUGUAAAUAUUCGGAUCGCGAUUAUUAAUCGCGAUCCGAACCAGGGGGCGGGGUGUAUGAAAUAAUAGGAUCGCGAUCCAAAAUAGGGGUCUAUUUGUAAACAUUAAGGGGUAUUAUGAAAAUAUAACCAGGGUUCCUUUGUAAUAAAUACUUGGGACCACGGGGCCAUGGCCGCCGCCGAGACUGUCCAGCCGGCGGCGAGCCCCAUCCACCCUUGGCCCAUCCCGCGCCGAGCGACGCACGGCACGGCACGGCCCUAACUCCCCUGUAGUCUGCAGUAGAAGCCCCCGCGGAAGCCCGUGGCGAGCGCGGCGCCCAUGGAGUGUGAGGAAUCAGAUUCAGAAGAGCCGCGUCGCGUACAGGAUGCAGCUCGGGGAGAGGCAUCCGCCGGCGGCGACGAAGGUCGACCAGCCUGGCGUUUGCCCGUUCGGUGCUGCGUGUUCGUCUUCUUCGUCGGGUCCGUCCAGCCAAUUCGUUGCGGCGGCGGCUGGCUCAGCUCGUGUCCUCUAUCCCGUUAAUUAACAUUAAGCCCCUAUUUCCAAAGUGCACCAGCAAACAUAGGGUCCGUAAUUCUGAAAGUUUGUGGACUGGAAACGGUUCUCACUGAAAUUACAAGCUUCACUGAAAUUACAAGUUUGAGAAAUGUAGCAUGCAUGAUCUACUUGUAUUAUUAUCGCCGAUAAUUAUGAACAGUCAAGUGUGCUUGUUCUUGUACGAGUUCCAGUUCACGGUGCAAUCAUCAAGGCAACCUGCUGCAGCGCAGGCAUCAGUUGUCCCUGGCAAAUCCAAAUGCAAAGUCACAAAACUUUCAUAGACGAACACAAAAUUGAUCAAAGCAAGAUUGCUGUGUAAUAAAACAAGCGCCUCUUGCCGUCACCGGUCUCGGCCGCGCCGCAGAUGGAGGCGAGGCAGAUCUUGGAGCAGUCGCCGGCACCGAACGCGGCGACGGGCACCUCGUGUAAGUCGACGGUGCAGGACUCCACGCACUUGAUUUUGCAGAGCCACGCUGGGUUGCCCUCCCUGCAGCCAGGGUAGCAGCUGCCGAAGCACCCACAGAACCCUGUGAAUCCGGCCACCUGCUGCUGGCCUGACACGGACAGGGACAACAUGACGAGCAUGCAGCACAGAGCAGCAGCUGCAACUCUCUUCCCUUCCAUCCGUCCCUCCUCCCUGCAGUAGAGCCCGAGAAUGUUCAAGAGGAUCAUUCGUUUUGCAACGGCAUCAAUGUGUUGCAGAAAUGGGUGCAGAUGAAAUCAAACGCAGGGAAAGUUGAAGUAGUAGGAUGCUUACCAGUGAUUGUUCCUUCAGAAACUGGGACUUGAGGUGUUCUUUCUGUUGCGCAUUUUGUGUGGUGACAUUCAGAUAAUGACGUCCAUCUAUAUGUACCACUGGAGCAAAGGCUUGGAAUCUUGUUCUGAUGCAUUCUUGCACAAGCUUUCUAGAGAGAGCUAUGCAGACUGAAAGAGAUGGAGGAGCACCGCACAAGUAUGCCAGAUUCGGGCCAAUUUCAGCUUGUUGGGCAAAAUAUUUUUUGGUACUUGUAUGGCAGUAUACAUUUGAUCUCACUGUGUUCAGGAAAGAACAUCGUGAUUCGUGACACAAGCGAACAUGUCAGAUGUCUAAAAAGUUGGUAUGGACAACAUAAUCAUGCAUAGAGUUAGGGUCAUGAAGCUAUUCAUGACCAAGCAGGAAACCUUCCCCAUGAAAAGGAUUCUGACAAUACAGGAAAAGCUUGCGAAACGAUAGUAGUUCGACACAUUAUCACAAAGAAUGCAUUGUGUUGGAAAUGCACAUAUGCACAUUGGUUGGUUAAGUAUCUGAACCCAAAUAAGUAGCACGGGUAGGACAGCUGUUGGCACUGCAACACUCUGAUCUGAAUCAUUUCAGAUGUUCAGUCGUGGAUUUAGUCUGAAAAUGGAGAAUUAGGACAAGUAUGCCAGCUUCAGGAAUCAGGAUUCAGGACGGCUUCAGCAUGUGCAACAAAAGAAAUAUCAACUAGUAUACUGCAGCAAUUUGGAGGCAGCGAACACAGAAUUUCACUAUGUUCAGCAAAUCAGAACCCUGCUGUGAUACAUCAGAACUCAGGACAAUAUGCAGAUUUGCCAAAGUUGAUAUGAAUUUGAAUCGUAUCAGAAUAUGAUUGUGGGGGCUAACGUAAUCGAUACUUACACAUGGUAAUAAGGUACAAAGACCGGUGAACCUGCGUAAUUUGAGGCAAAUGUUAGAAGAAAUAAAUUGCAGCAGCAUAGCAGUUGACAGCACUCGAUCAAAGCAGACCCUUCAGAAACAGGUAGCACAAACGGCGAGACCACAGAGAUUUUUUUUAUUACAGUUCAUAGAGAUUUAUGUGGACAUGGAUCAGGAUCUUCACGGACGUGCUGUUUCCAAUUUCAUUACAUCGAGGACAAGAUGAAGCCACGGUAUUGAUGAACAAACCUGCCAUGGCCCGCGGCGUGGGCUCACAUUGGUUGGGUAUUGCAGAAAUAUUUACAACUUCCAGACACCAAUGUUAGCGCAGGGGAGAGAGAGACUGGUUGCAAUUGCUUCGGCAGCAGGUUGAGUGGUUCAACUUGGCCAGACAGAAUCAGUCAGGGUGAAUUUCCUGAAAGCAAAGAAAUACUCUCCAAGAGACACGGAGAUCCUUCGGGAGCUUCGGUUGGUCGUGGAACAAGGCAAGGCUCUGUACUAAAAGCAGGGGGAGCUAUACAAUGGUCUCAUUGGGCCAAGGCCUGAAGUGAAACCAAAGAAGGCAAACUAACUCGCUAUUUUCUGGCAGUGGCUGUUGUCCUUGAUUCGUUAUCUGGUUCGGAUGUUCAGUAAGAAUGAGCAAGGUAGUUUACCUGAAAAUUGUUCAGAAUAGGUGCUUGAGAUUCCAUGACUAGCAUGACCAACCUGAAAAUUAUGCAACAAAAAGCAUCCAAACUUUCUUGAACCAUUAACAUGUAUUUUUUUUGAACCAUUAACAAAAAGCAUCCAUUCUUGAACCAUCCAAAUUUAUCCUCGGCCCUGUCAACUGCUUGAGCUUUGCUCAGGCCAUCAAUGACUGCUACGGGUUUUGCAGGUUGCUCAUUGCGGCCUGCAGCGAUGGCCGUUGUGGAAGAAGACGCACGUUCUGCAACCGAGAUGACACAGCUCUCCAAUGAGACAGAAAUUUCUGUACAACUGCGAAUCGUUUGAUCUCGACGCGGCUGGAAUAAAAUAUAGUUGACUCUUUACGAUGUUUGUCAACCUUGGAGGAGUAGUGGUUCAUGGUCAUGGAAAAUACAGGCACAAAUCUCUGGAGGGCUAGGAAUGACCCAUCUUGUAGCACAGGCAGCAACAUACGGAGUAGCUACAGGCUAAGUACUCUGAACAAACAGAAAAACACGGUUCCUUGCACCCCUUUGCUUGCAGCUUCACGAUGCCACUCUGAAUGCUGCCAUUGCAGCCGACGCACAACACCACGACGCUGCCAUCGCAUCCAUGAUUGCCAAUGCACUUAGCUAUGACCAGGUGAAGGUUUUUUUUUUUUCGAAAAGGAUGACCAGGUGAAGUACAUGUACAUCACGGACAACCAACAGUUGGCACCAAUUCUACAGGAGGAGAAUUAUGAUUGAUCAGCUUGGAGACUGGAGACUGCGACCCCUUCUGCAUCGAACAACAACAAAGACAUACCUUUCACCUGACGAAAGAUUGGGCGAGAAACCAACUGGAUAGCUCAGAACAUAGCCAAGGAGGCAUGGAAAUACAGUUCACCUCCUUGAGUCUGUCAUCCUGUAACCACGUAGGCCGUCCAAUGCAUUGCCCGAUUCAACAGGCUUUGCAAAACGUUACCAAGGAAUAAAUAUUUAAUUUAUCAAAAAAAAUGUGGAACUUGAUGAUAGUUCUAUAUGCUUAUAUUUGAAGGACAUGCACAAAAUAUCUUCAAGCACCCCGUUCAUUGAUAUUUUUUUCAAGCACUGCAUUCAUUGAUAUGAAUUGAAUAAUUUCAAAAGUGCAGACAAAAGAGGCGCGCGAAGUUCCAUGAAACAUGCUUCGGACGCCAGCAUCAAUGAAUUAAAAAUGGUUCAGAUGACUGAGAAGAUUAGCAUCUCACUGUAAACAGAGACAUGCAGGAACUUCCUGUGAUAUGAAAAUGCAAGGAGUAUAGGAAAUGGGAGCCAAGAAUAUACUAAUGUCCCAGAAUCACAUAAACAUAUUCAAACUGCAGGAAAUCUGACCACUUGAGGAUGCUCUAAUACAGAAGUAAAAAAAAUAUAAAAGAUAUGUGCAAUCCAUGGAUAGGGCUUGUGCAUUUUUCGAGAGGUAGAUCAGCAUGGACUCCACUAGCAUUUGAUACUGAAGAUAAGGAUAGCAUUUCUCUAUAGAAUUUCAUCAAACAAAGGAGACCACAGAAUGUGGCUAGUAAAUUAAAGCACGAGACAGACAUAAUGACUCAAACAAAUUUACAUGUCAUUGGGUAUUGCAGAAAUAUUUACAACUUGCCCAGACACCAAUGUUAGCGUUUUGGGGGGGGGGGGGGGGGUGCUGGGCUGGUUGCAACUGCUUCGGCAGCAGGUUAAGUGGUUCACCCGCUUCAACAGGGAUGAACUCGUACAAUCCACCUGACUUUUGCCUGCAGAUAAUAAUGAAAACAAUUCAGCACCAUGGAAUCAUAUGCUUUCUAUCAACAGGCCGGACAAAAGGAUUCAGGAUCACAAGGUAACACUUCAAUUGGGUGGGUUAGAAUAAAAAAACAGAGAUCACAUGAAACUCGAGCGUACGGAGUUCCAUCAUCUUCAGCAGAUAUCAUAACCUUUUAAUGGGUGUGACAGUUGACAUGCAAAGCAAAAGGUUAUGCUACUUCACGAUCAAAUUCAGGAGAAGAAAAACGUGUUUAUGCACGCGCAUUCCUCAGGCAAAACAUCAACUGAUGGAUGAAACAAGAACAAAGAAAAUUAGAAUGAUGACAUUUCUAUGGAGCAGAUAUGAAAUGAUUGGCAUACUCUUCGAGUAAACCAGUCACUAUUCACACUAUUCACUGCAUAUGUCAAGUGCGGAGUAAGAAUACCUGCAAGUAUCAGUUGAUUUUAGGGCUUAGGUAGUUGUAUUGUGGAUCCCUGAGGAAUUAGUUGAUUUGAGGAAAAACAGCUGUUGGUUGCAAGACUAUGAUCCGAGUCGUUUCAGAUGUUCAGUGGCGGAAUCAUUGUGAGAGUUGCAUAACUAUGCCAGCUUCAGGACAGCGUCGGAGGCGAACUACAUCGGCCGGGUUGGAGUAGGCGACGGACAACGGCGGGGUCACGUCGGAGGCGAACUACCCAUACACAGGUAGGGAGGGCGAAUGCGUCAACGGCAAGCCGAGAAACUUUGCGGCGCGUCAGAGCUUGCUUAAACCUGUGAAUGGUGUUCUAGGGAACAAUCCGAGUCCCAAGCUUGCGUAAUCUUAUUAUUCAGGUCUUGUCAGAGGACGAAAAUAGUGUGAAAGCACUGUUCAGGCUAGGAAAAGCUAAAUCUGAACUUGGCCAGACAGAAUCAGCCAGGGUGGAUUUCCUGAAAGCAAAGAAGUACUCUCCAAGAGACUCGGAGAUCCUUCGGGACCUUCGGUUGGUCGCGGAACAAGACAAGGAUCUGUACCAAAAGCAGGAGCAGCUAUCCAAUGGUCUCUUUGGGCAAAGGCCUGAAGUGAAACCAAAGAAGGCAAACUAACUCGCUAUUUUCUGGCAGAGGCUGUUGUUCUUGAUUCGUUAUCUGGUCCGGAUGUUCAGUAAGAAUGAGUAAGGUAGUUUACCUGAAAAUUGUUCAGAAUAGGUACUUGAGAUUCCAUGACCAUCAUGACCAACCUUGUACUGUUAGACUGGAAUAUCUGUGGAACUGUCGAUCAUUUGAUCAUGCAUUUGAGCAGUUGGGAUCAAAUAUACUUGUUAUGAACUCUAUACAAUAUUGUGUAUUGACGAACCUUGGAGCCUGUUAGCAAUAAUCUUGACUAGUAGUGCAGUAGGUACAUGUAAGUUACUCAGGGUCCAAGUCUAGUCUUUGCCUUGGGGACCAAGUUGAGUCAAGUCUUUGCCUUGGCAUGUAAGCCACUGUGGCUGUGUAGUAGUGUAUAUAUAGUGCUAUAAAUAGAAAGGAGAGGGCCUAGCUCCCUCGAGAGUUCAAGCAGCACCAAAGGAGAGUGGUCUAGUUCUUCUCUUCACAAGAGGAGUGUGUGUGGCUGCUGGCAGGUUGCCGUAAAGAACUGCCUGGGCUGUAGAGUAGGAGUUGCCGUAGCCGGAUACUUACAGGCUGACCGGAGGCAACUUUAGGUACUUAGGGAGGAGCUGAUCAAGUGAUCAGUUUCAAGUAGUUUGCUGCGGCAACUAGUGUGUUUCUACGUGAAACUAGUGUGUUAGCGUGUAUCUUCGGUCGUGUGCUGUCCUAACAGAGCCAACGUUCAUACAUUCUUUCAGCUGAAGUUUCAAAAAACUUUUUUUAUGCCAGUGAAUUAUACAGUUUUUCACAUUUUAGAUUAUUGUAGCAAUAAUACUGUCUCAAUUGAGCUCUAGAUUUCAUUCUCAUGUUGAUGCUGUUGCCAUUGAAACUGCAGUUGCUUGCAGAGGAGCACAAAGUCUCACUUCAUUGCUCUGGAAUUACAACCAUUCUAAGUGCAAGCAAAAGACAUGCCUGAUCCUGAACACACGCUAAAGAUGCUAUCAUGAAAUUUUUUUGAGUUCAGAUGACCAGGAGACUUACAAAAAUUGAUACUGUAAACAGACAUACUGCCAUACUGGGAACUUCCACUGCUCUUGUAUGGACAUAGAACUGCAACCCAUGCAAGGAGUCAGGGACAUCCAUAAAGCACAUACACAAUAUCUUGGAACUACAGGAAGGCCCAACCUUUGGAGGGUGGUCGAAUACAGAAGUAAAUACAAACAAUAUGUGCAAUACAUGGAGAGUACUGCUGCAUUUUUCAAGGUAAUUUACCAUGGACUCCCCAGUAGCAACCGGUGCAGGCAUAGCCGCAGAAAACAAAAACCAACCGAACAAACAAGGAACUCGAAGCAUCAGAAACAUUACUCAAUAUGUGAAACAUGAAAAGUGAACAAAGAAAGCAUGAUUCGACAAUGGAGUUAUUAAGGAAGGAGUGUGCCAACCUUUAAAGGGCUACAGUUGUUGGAAGCGCCCAGCCUUUCAAGUGGCAUCAAAUAUUCAACUUCAUCCAAGUAUGCAACUUCCCAAACACAAUAUUCAACUGAAGUCAUAAAAAAGAGUGCCAACAAGUAACACAUAGAUAAUACAGCUGCAGAAAGGUAAAACCAUGUCAACAAGCAAGGCUAACCAGAACAUUAUGGACAGUAGUGGUUUUGUGAACUGAUUAUGCAACAUGCUGAUAUGCAUCAACAGGGAAUAUAAAAUCAAUACCUUCAAAAACAUCUAAAGAAUAACCAAUGUAGAAGAUAAUGGUGACAGAGUUGGUAAACACUUUAUACUAAACAAACAUUUUUUUCCCAUUAGAGUCUGUUCCUUAUCUAUUAAUCCAUAUUCCAAAGAAUGAUAGUAUUGGAUUUACUAGAUACAUUGAAUUGCAAGCAGUAAACACUUAUGAUUUAUUUUAUCCUUGGAAGUGCAGGAUUUCUUAACAAAUUAUGCAACGAAAAGCAUCCAAACCUUCUUGAACCAUCAACAUGUAAAUUGAUCCCUGUUGUAAAUAUAAGUGCAACUGAAAACAAGAUAAUUUUUACUUGGUGAUAAACUUGAUACUGAAGAGCACUAUCAUGAUAACAUUUCUCUAAACAAAGGAGACCACAGAAUAUGGCAAGUAACUUAGAGCAUGAGACAGAAAUAUUCACUGCAAUGGAUAGACAUAAUCACUCCAACAAAUUUAUGCGCCACAUAAAAGAUGUCUCAACACAGUUGAGAAUCCAAUUCCUCUGAAAAAAUCCUCAUUUAUUGACAUCCACAAGAAAAUGGUACUUUUCAGGCAGGGACUUUGCAUGGUGCUGAUAUUCCUCCCUCGAGAAAACUGAUAUUAGCAAGGAAGUAGUGGAUGCCUCAAGUGAGAAGUUCAUCUCAUCAAUUUUGGCGAGGUAAGCCCCAGCCCUCAUUACCUCACCUCUAUGCAACAGACCCCUAACUAGAGCAUUUAGCAUACGAGAGUCUGGAGUGCAUCCACUCUUUUCCAUUGCUAAAAACAGAUUGUCAGACUCUUCUAGCAACCCUUCUUUUAUGAGAUUUUCUAUCAUUAAGCAAUAGGUCACAACACUUGGAACUAAACCAUGGGCAGAGAUAGCAGUGAACAUAUCCAUAGCAUCUUCCUUUCUGCCACUUUUGAGAAAAGCAUCAAUCAUAAUAUUGAAGGUACUAAUGUGAAGUUGAAAACCCUUAGAACAUAGACUCUGAAAUAUUUUAAAUGCCUCAUCAACAUAAUCAUUUUUGCAAAGACCAUUCAGAAUUAUGUUGUACGUGUAAAUGUCCAGCUGCAUUCCACUUUUGAUCAUAUUGAUAUAGAGUUCUUUUGCUUCAGAAAUUUUCCCAGACCGAAAUAAACCCUGAAGUACCAUGCUAUAAGUGACAAUUCCAGGCCUAACUUCAUUGCUUAACAUUUCUCUGAAUAGUCUAACUGCAUCAUCUAUCCUGCCAGCUCUACAAUAGCCAUGAAGCAAAGUAUUAUAAGAAAAGGCCUCUGGUUUCAAGCCAACUCGGACCAUAUCAUCAAGUAACUUCAUAGCUUCCUUCAUCCUACCAGCUAAGCAGUGGCCAUCCAUUAACGUAGUAUAUGAGAUAACAUCAGGUCUCACACCUACACACACCAUCAAGUCAAGGAGACUCUGGGCUUCCGUGACUCGUCCUUCUCUGCAAAGGUUACACAUUAUUGUGUUGAAGAACGUGGAAUCGGGAUGGACACCAUGAUUCAGCAUUUCAGAAAAUAAUUCAUUAGCCUUCUCCCAUUUGUCAGCAGUGCACAGUCCAUAAACUAGUGAGCUAAAUACAAUGAUAUCAGGACUCACCCCUUCAUAGAUCAUCUGAUUAAAUUUGAGCAUAGCCUCGUCCACUCUUCCCGACUUGCAAAGUGCAUCUAUUAUUGCUCCAUAGUUGACUACAUUUGGACUCAACCCUUGCUGCCUCAUUUGGUCAAAUAUAUGCAUUGCCCCAUCUAUCUUACCACCUUUAGCAUAUGCCCAGAGAACUAUGUUAAAGGUACAAUGGUCAGGUGAAAUAUCAUUUCCUGCCAUCAAAUCCAAUAGACCAUGCAUAUCAGAAAGAGCUCCUUUGGUAGCAUACCCAUUAAGCAGAGUGUUAUAUGUAGUUACAUUAGGUUUUGUGCCCUUUUCAAUCAUAGAAUCAAAAAUCUUUCUAGCCACUGUGCAUCUUCCACUCUUGCAAAGGUAAUCCAGCAGCAAAUUACAAGUGACAACAUUAGGACCAUGACCAUGUGCGGACAUUUCUUUGAGCAUUCGAACCACCUCUUUCCCCUGUCCUGAAGAGCAAUAUCCAUGGAUCAGGCAAGUAUAUGUCUGAUUGUUUGGCUUGACACCUUUAUGAACCAUCUGCCGAAGGACACCCUCGGCCCUGUCAACAGCUUGAGCUUUGCAUAGGCCAUUGAUGACUGUGGUGUAGGUCACAACAGUCGGCAAAAUCCCCUGGUUAUCGAUUUCACGAAAUAGGUUGUAAGCUUUGUCCACCUGACCCUCUCUAAAUAAGCCAUCGAUGACGAUGCUGUACGCCACGACAUUUGGUGGGCAGCCAAACUCGGGCAUUCGUCGGAGUAAUAUGUCCAUGGCCUCAUCCACCCUCUUUGUGUCACAGAGACCUUUGAGAAGCGGAUUGAUGACUGUUUGCACCCUCCAGCCCGCCUUGAGGACGAGGCCAAAGGAGGCGAAACCAAGCUCCAGGCGUCCCAUGCGGCAGAAGCAACCGAUGAGGAUGUUGUAGGUGGACGCAUUGGGAGCCACCUUGUUCGGGGAGGCACGGACCAUCCGGUUGAAGAGGGACACGACGAGCGCGGAGGUCGAGGAGCCCCUUCCCUGGGCGCGAAAGAUGGAGGUAAGGAGGUGGUUGAAGGCGCGAACCGAGGCCGGCCUGGCGUGGGGGAGCAAUUCGUCGAACAUCUUGACGGCGUCAUCGAUACCGAGGCUUUUUCCCGAGCUAACGCGGCCAACGAUGGCGCGCUCCAGCUCCAAGCAGCGGUCGCGCACGCGGCAGGACAUGCCGGCGGGGCACGGCACGGCUAGCGGCCCGGCGAGGAGACGGAUGGGCGGCCCUGCAUCCGCCUCCGGGUCGGGCGUGGCGGCUCGAUCGGUGGGGGCGGAACAGCGCGUUCUGCGGCGUGGAGUGGGCGAGCGAUGGAUCUGGAAUGCUACCGGCGGUGGCCGCGGCGUGGAGUGGGCGUUCUAUGCGUUGGCUGGUUGGGGCGGCGUGGCGCCGGGCGUCAGGUGUUGGAACAAGUCCUGAGCUCCUAAUCUUAGAAGAAGGUAGCAGGUGGCAAGCAUUUUCAAGGGAUUCGCAAAGCAAAGAUCUUAAUCCGUGCUGGACAAACGGUUUCCAAUUCAAAAUACUAUUGGCAGUGUGCUAUUUCCGCUGAAGUCUGCAUUUCCGUUUCCCUUUUUCCAGCUUGAUUGAUCUGUGCUCAUCCUUUUUAUGAACAUUCUUCGGCCAAUCAGAUGUGGAAACGUUUUUUCACUCAAUUCAUAAAUUACUUGCAUUAGAGAGCUAUAAACCUUUCUACUCAAUUGUACUCAAUUGCUGGCAUCUUUCAAACCAAGUUGAAUACCUAAAAAAUACACACAGCCAAGAAGGUAUGAAAACGAAAACAGACGAGAAGAGGGGGGGCAUUAUUUAUUGUUUGUCAACAUAGUAAAAUAAUUUCUAAGUAAAACUUUCCUCCCUGCAAUUUCCAUAGAUGGGGGAGAUUAUAUUGACGAGAGGAUUUUGACCAGUCAUCUUGCAUGGAAUUAUCCUCCUCGCUACACAUCGUCCCUCUUGUGGUGGGCAGUUGAUGUAUACAGAAACCUUGCACAAAUAUUGCAUUUAUGAGUUAAAAAUGUUACAACACAAAGAAAGCAAAACAAUUAGAAGUGUGCUGACUGUAGAGGGGAGAGGAAAAAAAUUCUAAUCAUUUCCAAAUAACUGAAAAGACGUGCCUUAUGCACAGUUGCACUCAUUAUCAACAAUCCAACCAAGGUCACAACGUGGAUUCUAUGAGAGGAAAACAAUCAUCAGGGGCAUCUUGUAGCCCCUCAAUCAAAACAACAUAGAAAUCAAGGGCUGGUUGCUGGAGCUUGUAUGAGGGGAAAACAUAUCAAAACCUUUUACACUGCUAACAGUGGGGGAAUGAAUACACAAGCUUAAAUUAUAGGAAUCACGUCAAGGAUCAAGAGGUCCAGAUCAUAUAUUUUAUCACCAUGAGUGCAGGGUACCUUCACAAACAAGCAACAAAAUGCAGAGACCUAAGUGAUACCAGUUAAUUUGUAAACUGAUUCUGCUGUAAAGCUAACUUGAUCGCAUUAAAGAUAAUUUUACCUGGAGAUAAACACUUAACCGCACCAACACAACAGCAUUUCUCUAGAGAAAAACAAAUGGGACAACAGAACAUCAUAAGUAAAUUAGAGCAUGAGACAUGAAUAAUCACUUCAACAAAUUAACAUGUCCCAUUUAGAUGUAUCAGCACUGUUGAGAAUUUGAUUCAUUUAGCACAACACUCAUUUAUUGACAUCCACAAGAAAAUGGUACUUUUCAGGCAGGGACUUUGCAUGGUGCUGAUAUGUCUCCCUCGAGAAAACUGAUAUUAGCAAGGAAGUAGUGGAUGCCUCAAGUGAGAAGUUCAUCUCAUCAAUUUUGGAGAGGUAAGCCCCAGCCCUCAUUAUCUCACCUCUAUGCAACAGACCCCUAACUAGAGCAUUUAGAAUACGAGAGUCUGGAGUGCAUCCACUCUUUUCCAUUGCUAAAAACAGAUUGUCAGACUCUUCUAGCAACCCUUCUUUUAUGAGAUUUUGUAUGAUUAAGCGAUAGGUCACAACACUUGGAACUAAACCAUGGGCAGAGAUAGCAGUGAACAUAUCCAUAGCAUCUUCCUUUCUGCCACUUUUGAGAAAAGCAUCAAUCAUAAUAUUGAAGGUACUAAUGUGAAGUUGAAAACUCUUAGAACAUAGACUCUGAAAUAUUUUAAAUGCCUCAUCAACAUAAUCAUUUUUGCAAAGACCAUUCAGAAUUAUGUUGUACGUGUAAAUGUUCAGCUGCAUUCCACUUUUGAUCAUAUUGAUAUAGAGUUCUUUUGCUUCAGAAAAUUUCCCAGACCGAAAUAAACCCUGAAGUACCAUGGUAUAAGUGACAAUUCCAGGCCUAACUUCAUUGCUUAACAUUUUUCUGAAUAGUCUAACUGCAUCAUCUAUCCUGCCAGCUCUACAAUAGCCAUGAAGCAAAGUAUUAUAAGAAAAGGCAUCUGGUUUCAAGCCAACUCGGACCAUAUCAUCAAGUAACUUCAUAGCUUCCUUCAUCCUACCAGCUAAGCAGUGGCCAUCCAUUAACGUAGUAUAUGAGAUAACAUCAGGCCUCACACCUACACGUACCAUCAAGUCAAGGAGACUCUGGGCUUCCGUGACUCGUCCUUCUCUGCAAAGGUUACACAUUAUUGUGUUGAAGAACAAGGCAUUGGGAUGGAUCCCUUGAUUCAGCAUUUCAGAAAAUAAUUCAUUAGCCUUCUCCCAUUUGUCAGCAGUGCACAGUCCGUAAACUAGUGAGCUAAAUACAAUGAUAUCAGGACUCACCCCUUCAUAGAUCAUCUGAUUGAAUUUAAGCAUAGCUUCAUCUACUCUUCCCAUCUUGCAAAAUGCAUCUAUUAUUGCUCCAUAGCUGACUACAUCUGGACUCAACCCUUGCUGCCUCAUUUGGUCAAAUAUAUGCAUUGCCCCAUCUAUCUUACCACCUUUAGCAUAUGCCCAGAGAACUAUGUUAAAGGUACAAUGGUCAGGUGAAAUAUCAUUUCCUGCCAUCAAAUCCAAUAGACCAUGCAUAUCAGAAAGUGCUCCUUUGGUAGCAUACCCAUUAAGCAGAGUGUUAUAUGUAGUUACAUCAGGUUUUGUGCCCUUUUCAAUCAUAGAAUCAAAAAUCUUUCUAGCCUCUGUGCAUCUUCCACUCUUGCAAAGGUAAUCCAUCAGCAAAUUACAAGUGACAAUAUCUGGCUGAUAACCAUGUGCAGACAUUUCUUUGAGCAUUCGAACCACCUCUUUCCCCUGUCCUGAAGAGCAAUAUCCAUGGAUCAGGCAAGUAUAUGUUUGAUUAUUUGGCUUGACACCUUUAUGAACCAUCUGCCGAAGGACACCCUCGGCCCUCUCAACAGCUUGAGCUUUGCAUAGGCCAUCGAUGACUGUGGUGUAGGUCACAACAGUCGGCAAAAUCCCCUGGUUAUCGAUUUCACGAAAUAGGUUGUAAGCUUUGUCCACCUGACCCUCUCUAAAUAAGCCAUUGAUGACAAUGUUGUACGCCACGACAUCUGGUGGGCAUCCACCACCUCCAUCAUCGGCCAUCACGUGGAGCAGCUCAAGUGCCUCCUCACCUCUCUUUUCGUUGCAUAAACCCUUUAGAACUGUGCUGUAUGAAGCUGCACCUGGCGUGCAGCCAAACUCAGGCAUUCGUCGGAGCAAUAUGUCCAUAGCCUCAGACACGCACUUUCUGUCACAGAGACCUUUGAGCAGUUGACUGAUGACUAUGCCAUUCACCCUCCAGCCUGUCUUAAGGAUGAGGCCAAAGGCGGUGAAACCAAGCUCCAGGCGUCCCAUUCGGCAGAAGCAGUUUAUGAGGAUGCUGUAGGUGUGCAGGUCGGGAGCUACCUUGUUGGAGCAAGCACGGGCCAUCCGGUUGAAGAGGGAGGGGACGAGCUCCGAGGAGGAGGAGCCCCUGCGCUGGGCGCGAGAGACGGCGGCGAGGAGCUGAUUGAUGGCGAUCACCGAGGCCGGCCUAGCGUGGUCUAGCAAUUCACCGAACAGCUUGACGGCGUCGUCGAGGCCAAGGUUUCCCGAGCUGACGCGGCCAACGAUGGCGCGCUCCAGCUCCAAGCAGCGGUCGCGCACGCGGCAGGACAUGCCGGCGGGGCACGGCACGGCUAGCGGCCCGGCGAGGAGACGGAUGGGCGGCCCUGCAUCCGCCUCCGGGUCGGGCGUGGCGGCUCGAUCGGCGGGGGCGGAGCAGCGCGUGCUGCGGCGUGGAGUGGGCGUUCUAUGCGUUGGCUGGUUGGGGCGGCGUGGCGCCGGGCGUCAGGUGUUGGAACAAGUCCUGAGCUCCUAGAUUAGAAGGUAGCAGGUGGCGAGCGCCAUUAGUGGUUGGACAUCGAUUGCGGCAUGACCCAGGCGGUUGGGAUGGCAUCUAUCGAUCACGAGUACGUCGGGAUUGGCUUGGUCUUCUAUAACCCGGUAAAGAUGCAUGUAUUUCUUUUAUAUAGAAAUAGCAAUCAACUGAAAACGUUGCCGUUUUGCAGCACCAAAAUUCAUCGAGUCCACUUCGUGUUCACGUGUGAUGUCUUCCUCCGUUUGGAGUUCUGUCAUCAGGUGCCGCCGGGCGGUGGCCGUCCGACGUGACGUGACCAACAGAGGCGGCGAGGAGCAGCAGCAGCACAAGCAGCCAGCCAAGAACGGAAACAUAGUGGGUGGGUAGGAUUGUUUCAAGAUUUGUGUUUAUUUCUUCUUUGCUGAUUUCUUUCGAAGCCCAAGGCCCGGACAUCCAGGCGACCAGGCCAAGCCUGACGCUUAAUUCUUCCGACAGAUAAUCACCUACGCACAUGUGACGCAUCAACUCGUACCGGUCUAACAUAUACACUGUCAACGUAUAUUUCAUAUUGGAUUCAAUAAAACAAAUUAGAUAUUAUAAAUAUUAUUAUUUUUUAUAUAAAUUUGGUUAACCAAAUUUAACUUAGGACAAAUCUAAUACAACAUGUAAAUAAAAAUAGGGGAGUAAUUUUAUACGUUCUUCAGAUAAAUUAGUCUUAAAACAAGCUAUGCAUUGCUUUAGAAUGGCAGUCUAAUUCUUUUGUAGCCACCGUAUUCCACCCCGAGAAAGAGCAGACCAACACAUGCGUGAAACCUCUUAUACCAGAUCCACUUCCAACAACAAACGCUGCAGCCUGCAGGUGUAGUCCUUCCUUUGUAUGCAGGUUUACGGGUAUAUUUCUCCAUCAACUCCCUUUUGUCAGAGCCACAUUGUCCAUAACAAUGAUGUGAUUUUCCAGAUGGCUGUAACCAUGGCCACAGGUGGCGUCGGCGGUUUACGGCGUGAUGGGUUCCGUGGAUUCGGUGUAGCCUGGCCCGUGGGAUACAACAUGUGUGUGAUUGGUUAGCUGGAUGAGCCUUUGAGCCUGGCCCAUGCUGUCCAAAAGGUCUCUCUAGACCUGGCUCCACCCACGCAGAAAAAUUAAGAUAGUGAUUGGUUGGUUGCAUAUCCUCCAACUGAACUUCUAUAGUGCAGUCCAACAUGUUUGGAUGGUUGGGUAGGCCUCGUAGCCACAGGCUUGCGGAGUGCAAAAGGGGCAGUCCAGCCUGCAUUGCGGGAUACAGAUUUCGAUUUCGUUUCCGGCUUGUGUAGGUUGUAUUAGCUCCGCGCGCUCAAUUUUGCAGACCCGCCUUGUGCGGCCCGCGGCUCGUACUGUGCAGGGAACGAAACCCUCCGUCUCGCUAGGGUUACCAUUGUGCAGCCCGCGGCCUGUACUGUGCAGGGAACGAAACCCUCCAUCUCGCUAGGGUUACCACUGCACAGUACUCAUUCGCGCCGUCCGGCCUCGGCCUCCCUCUUCGCUCGCUCUCGCCCUCCGACUUCGCUCUCGCAAACGCACGCCGUCGCCAAGCUAGGGUUUCGCCGCCGCCUCUUCCUCGGCUCUAUGAAGCGUCCCCCCAUCAGGGAAGACUUAAAAGUGUUGCUUUAUCAGUCCCAGGAGACUGAUAACACUUUUAUUACAUCAGAUGGUACAUCACCGUACAACUCUUCGCGGUAAUGGGCAGUGAAGCGCCACUAUCGCGAGGAUCACAACUAAAACCCAUACUACUACACUAACUACGAAGAGGGAAUCAUCAGAGUCUUGCGCCAUGCGGAGCUCCAACGGUGACCUCACCCACAGGCAAGACUGGGUGCAGGACGGAACCCUACUCGACGUCUUCGGGGAUGUAGUCGGGAUCUUCCACUGUAAAAGUAAGAACGGGGUGAGUACAGACGUACUCAGCAAGUCCGAUCACACCCACGGAGGGGGGUAUAACAGAAUUUAAUGCACAGGAUAAUCAAAAGAUAAGGUUAUGGUUCUUUUACGGAAACUCGGUUAUAUGCAGGGGUUCGUUUUAAAAACAUUUUCAAAACAAGCUUUUCAGUACCAAGGAGCACACGGUGUUGACCCACACAGGAUCUAAGUUUAAACUGCUACCGGACUCCCCAUCCGCCAUAGCUCACGGCACAUCUGCCGGACACAUUCCAAACAACUCACACCAGCCCAUCCAUUCCCAGAGAGAAACACUAGUUAUGUGACCACACCGUAACUUGCCCGAUACCAUGGGCACGGCUAUUCGAAUAGAUUUUAUCUCUGCAGAGGUGUGCAACUUUACCCACAGGUGGGGUACCACAGCACGAACACCUUAGUGCCGGUGCAGAUCCCAUCAAAGCCCUCACCCACCUUAGCUAGACCUGGCUAGCCACCACGGGAUCUAUCAAGGGGUCAUUCGACCUAACACCGAGGUUUAACCGGGGCAUAAGUCACACAGAGCUUAUCCCGUCUCCUUGAUCACCCGUUGCUCCCAGCUCUCCUGAUGGCUAUCAGACUAACUAGUGGGGUUAGGCUAAGCCGUUGCCCAUACAACGGUCAAGUGGUUUGCACGACAGGAAGCUAGGUGAGACGACACAUCAACUCGGUCCUUAGGGGUGACAAGAUGGAUAUCUCCCUUUCACGCUCAACCACACAGGUACGAGCACACCAACUGCAACUCACACAGAAAUGCCAUCCAUCUCGUCUGACUUACUUUUCAAAACCACCUUUUAUCCCUUCCCACACGCACACACACUUUCUUUGCAAAACCAAAUGGUCAAGGUAUGGUUAUCACAAGUAAGGUGGCUAUCCUACCAUGUUUUCAGCACGCAAAACCAUGCAAUUUUAUAAAACGGGCCACUGGGUUGUGUUUAUAAAAACUAGGACAGAAACAUGCAUCAAAGGGCGGGAUUGAACUUGCCAUCGUCAAGUCCUUGCGGAAGGUCCUGAUCGAAGCACUGUCCUUCGGGUUCGGGGUCGCAGAACUGGUCCUCGGUUGCUUGGUCGCAGUCGGGAACUUCUUCGUUCACUCCGUGUCCUACGACGCAAACAAAACAGGCAUGCAAUCAAGCGAGAGAACUAAAAGCUUUUAUCGUUGAGCUUGAAUCGAAAAUAAUUUAGUCACGGAGGUAGGGGUAAUAUUUUUGGGUGGUUUCUUAAUGGCAUGGCUAAAACUAUACUAGAAAUGGAGUGGUAAAGUUUUGGGUCAAUCGGAGGUCGUUUCGCACAUAAAAUGAUGAGCUAAAGGGGGUUCGGGUGGUUAAACAGGGCUCCAGGGGUUUAUUCGUAAGUAUCUGGAGGGGGCAAGGGCCUAUUUGCAAAUUCUAGAAAUACGCAGGGCACGCUAAAGGAUGCCAAGUAUAAUUGGGUUUGUGUAAUGGAGGGUUUAUUUUGAAAUAAAGGAAAGAACAGGGCCUUUUCUGCAAAGGAGAGUAAGUAGAGGGGGGUUCCUUUGAGAAAAUACAGGAAAGGGGGGGGUUACGGGCAAAACUGCCCUUCUCCUUCCUCUCCCCCAUACCGAACAGAGGAAGGGGAAGGGGACGCCGGCGCCCGGCUGAUUCCGGCGGCCGGGGGCAUGGCGGCGGCCGGGGUUAGGGUGAGAGGGGGAGGGGGGCGAGGGGAACCGGUCCCCGGCCUCACCUCGGGCCGGGACGGCGCGUGGAGGCGGGGCGACGGAGGCCGACGGCGGCGGGCAGAGUGGCCGGCGGGGCGGCGAGGGGAGCUUGGGAAGGGAGCUGGGGGGUGGUGGCGCGAGUUGUGGAGGUGCCGAGGUGCGGGGGGGUGCUAUUUAUAGGCGGCCGCGGUGGAGGAGCGGGCGAGCGGCUGGUGGCCGGCGGGGUGGCUCCGGGGCGGCCAUUAAUGGCGCCCGGGGUCGCGACGCGGCGUGCGGCAGCGCAGGCGUUGAGGGUGGCGUCGAGCACGUGGGGAGGCGGGGCCGGCGCUGUGCGGUACAGGGCGGCGCGGGCGGCGAGGCCGGGGCGGCAGCGGCGGGCGGCGCGGCGGCCGUGCUUGCGCGUGCGUGCCGUGGCCGUGCGCGUACGCGUGCGCGUGGGUGGCGUGGAUCGCGUGCGCGUGCGGUCCGGCGGCGCGCGCGUGUACGGCGGCGUGCGCGCGAGGGUGGGGCGGCGUGGCCGGGGCCAGAGGCCGGGCGACGCGGCUCGGGAGCUCGGGAGCAGGGGAGGGAGGAAGGAGCAGGAAGGAAGAAAAAGAAAAGGGAGGGAAGGAAGAAAAGGAAAAGGGGAAAAAGGAAAAAGGGAAGGGAAAGUGUGACGCCCUGAAAAUUUCAAAUUUAAACUACGCGUUAAGGUGUCCUGACCGAAAAUGUAUUUGUCGUAAAACCCUGACUCUCUCCGUUUCACCGUCACACUGACGGCCGACGCGAGCCUGACCGCCGUCUCAUCCUGCACCGCUCACGUGCUAGAGUAAUUCGUAAAAACGGUUCAAUUUCAAAACCCUAACCCUAACCGGAUCACUGUUCCGUUCCGCAUCGCUCGAUGGCUUGUCGCUCACGCGCGACCGCCCGCCGCGAUUAGCGCCGGCGCUUCUCGUGCAGCGCGCGAAUCCCGCGCGCGCAUGGCCGACCGGCCGCGGUCGCCGCCGCGACCGGCGCCGACGCGUCCCUCCCCCUCUCUCUCCUUCUCUCCUUUUUCUUUCCCUCUUCCAUUUCUUUUCUUUUCUCUCUUUUUCUUUUCUCUUUCCCUUUCUUCUUUUUCCUUCCUUCUUUUCCCUCUCCUUCCCCUUUCCUUCCCGGUUUCCCCUGCCGCGAGCCCGCACGCCGCCCAGGCCGUGCCGCGCGCACGCGCCCGCCCUGCGUGCUCCGCGUGCCCCGCGUGGCCGCACGCCUCGCCGCGCCGCCCGUCGCCCGCGCCCCCGUCCUGGCCCGCACCUCGCCGCGCCGCACGCGCACGCACGAGCGCUUCCCCGCGCGUGCCGCGCCGCCCGUUGCUGGCGCUCUGCCCGCCGCGCGCGCCGUCACCUCCUGGCCACUGUGGCCGCACAGCACCCGGCCCUCGGCGCCCACGCCGCACGGCGACGACCGCAAGCGGCCGAGCGCCAUUGAUGGCGCCCCGCACCGCCCGCCGGCCGCCACCGCCCCAUUUCUCCUCCGCCUCACCGCCCUCUCCCCUAUAAAUAGGCCCCCGGCACCCCCGGCACCCUCACAACCCACCACGCCGCCUAACCGCCCGCCUCCCCCACCUCCGGCGCCGCCCCGCCGUGCCCUGCGACCGCCGCCUCCCUCUUCCGUCGGCCGGCCUCCACGCUCCACCUCAGCCCGAGGUGAGGCCGGGGAUGGGAUCCCCACGCGCCCCUCUCCCUUUUCCCCCACCCCCGGACCGCCGCCGUGCCCUGGCCGGCCGGAUCGGGCCGCCGCCGGCGCCCUGCCUCCCCCUCCUCUGUUUUGCACGGGAGAGGAGGAAGAAGGGGCAUUUUGCCCACAGCCCCCUCCUUUUCCCCCUUUUCCCAAGAAGCCCCCCCCCCUCUAGGAGCACCCUAUCCACUUCCUUUUUGUAAAAGAAACCUCGCGCGUUCGUUAUUUCAAUUUGAGCCCUCGAUACAUAAACCUAGUUAUACUCGACGCAUUUUACCAUGCUCAGGGUAUUUCUAGGAUUCGUAAAUAGAUCCUUACUCUUUCCGAACAUUUACAAACAAGCCCCUGGACCCCCGCUUAACCCCUAAAACCACCUUUAGCGCGUCAUUUUAUGUGCGAAACGACCUCCGAUCGACCCGAAACUUCACCACGCCCUUUCUAGUAUAGUUUUAGUCAUGCCAUUAAGAAACCACCCAAAGAUAUCACCCCUAACUCCGUAACUAAAUUAUUUCCGAUUCAAGCCCAACGAUAAAAGCUUUUAGUUCUUUCGCUUGAUUGUAUGUCUGUUUGUUUGCGUCGUAGGGCACGGAGUGAACGAAGAAAUUCCCGACUGCGACCAAGCAACCGAGGACCAGUUCUGCGACCUCGAACCCGAGGGACAGUGCGUCGAUCAGGACCUCCCGCAAGGGUUUGAUGAUGGCAAGUUCAAUUCCGCCCUUUGAUGCAUAUUUUUGUCCUAGUUUUUAUAAACACAACCCAGUGGCCUGUUUUAUAAAAUUGCAUGGUUUUGCGUGCCGUAAACAUGGUAGGAUAGCCACCCUUGUUGUGAUAACCAUACCUUGAACACCUGAUUUUAUAAAGAAAAUGCGUGUGUGUGGGAAGGGAUAAAAUGUGGUUUUGAAAAGUGAGUCAGACGGGAUGGAUGGCAUUUCUGUGUGAAUUGCCGUUGGUGUGCUCGUACCUGUGUGGUUGAGCGUGAAAGGGAGAUAUCCAUCUUGUCACCCCUAAGGACCGAGUUGAUGUGUCGUCUCACCUAGCUUCCUGUCGUGCAAACCACUUGACCGUUGUAUGGGCAACAGCUUAGCCUAACCCCACUAGUUAGUCUGAUAGCCAUCAGGAGAGCUGGGAGCAACGGGUGAUCAAGGAGACGGGAUAAGCUCUGUGUGACUUAUGCCCCGGUUAAACCUCGGUGUUAGGUCGAAUGACCCCUUGAUAGAUCCCGUGGUGGCUAGCCAGAUCUAGCUAAGGUGGGUAAGGGCUUCGAUGGGAUCUGCACCGGCACUAAGGUGUUCGUGCUGUGGUACCCCACCUGUGGGUAAAGUUGCACACCUCUGCAGAGUUAAAAUAUAUUCGAAUAGCCGUGCCCACGGUACUGGGCAAGUUACGGUGUGGUCACAUAACUAGUGUUUUUCUCUGGGAUGGAUGGGCGGGCGUGAGUUGUUUGGAAAGUGUCCGGCAGAUGUGCUGUGUGCUACGACGGAGGGGGAGUCUGGUAGCGAUUUAAAACGUGGAUCCUGUGUGGAUCCACAUCAUGUGUUCUGUGAUACUUGAAAACUUAUUUUGAAAGUGUUUUCCAAAACGAACCCUUGCAUAUAACCGAGCUUUCCGUAAAUAAACCCUAACUCCAUCCUUGAAUAUUUCCUGUGCAUUUAAUUCUGUUGUACCCCCCCCUCCGUGGGUGUGAUUGGACUUGCUGAGUACGUUUGUACUCACCCCGUUCUUACUUUACAGUGGAAGAUCCCGACUACAUCCCCGAGGACGUCGAGUAGGGUCCUGUCCUGCACCCAGUCUUGCCUGUGGGUGAGGUCGCCAUUGGAGCUCCGCAUGGCGCAAGACUCUGAUGAUCCCCUUUUCGUAGCUAGUGUAGUAGUAUGGGUUUUUGUUGUAAUCCUCGCGAUAGUGGCGCUUCACUGCCCAUUACCGCGGAGAGUUGUACGGUGAUGUACCAUCUGAUGUAAUAAAAGUGUUAUCAGCCUCCUGGGACUGAUAAAGUAAUACUUUUAAGUCUUCCCUGAUGAGGGGUACGCUUCAGGUGGUAUCAGAGCCGUAGGCUGGCCGUAGGAUGAGACCCUAGGAGCGAGACCCCUUUUCAGGCCCUAGAACUUGUCCUGAUUUAGAAAUUUUCUGCACAAACACUCACCGCUGGUCUUUGCCUUGUUCCAGAUGGCUGGCAAUGGAUGGGUUAAUGGAAUCUGCCACGCAGAGCCCGGCCUUCCCAAGCUACUAUUGCUCAGCCUGGAACGCGUUGGGGUUAUGGAACCACCGGAGUAUGCCUACCGUGAGUACAUCGCCGGAGGCACUCUUCGGUGCGACAUGAUGGUUUUUGUGGAGAGAAGCACUCGCUAUCCUGAUGUGGACCCUUGGUUCAUCUCCACCGCUGGUUUCCGCUUCCCCGACACCUAUCGAAAGACCGCUCGUAAAGCCCUGUGACGGCUACGUGUGCUUUACAGGCACCACCUUCAGCGGACCCCUAUGGGAUUUUUCCCACCCGCUGAGGGAAGAGGACGCACCUGGAUUACCCGAAUGAGGAGACUUGGACGAGAAGAAGAAGACUUAGAAGACACGGUCUCCCACCUGUCAAUCUACCUUACUGGCUUGGACGCACUCUACAGCGAACAGGCGGCGCAACUGAAGCAGCUAAUCCAUGGGAGCCGCAAGCGCCGAGUAUUCCCUAGCCGCCCUCCAAGCCCAGAUGCAAGAAUACGAGAACCGCAACGGAAUAGGUGGAUGGAUAGAGGAAGAAGAAGAAGAACCCAUGGAAACCCAUUGGGAUAAGGGAACUCAGACCGAAAACGAGAUGGAUCGGUUCCUUCCAAUAAAGAAGCGCUCUAUCAGGACCGAGGAAGAAUCCCCAUGAUAGGAUUAGCACCCCUAGCUAAAACCCUAUCCUAAUGACCACGUAUCCAUGAAAACUGUACCACCCUUGUUGUAAUAAUAAAUAUCAUCUACUCCCUUUUGCACCUAUACCAGGUUGUUUACCCUGUUUCUGUUUCAGAUGGCUGAGGAAGGAUGGACCCAGGGCAAUUGCCAAGCUGCACCUGGAUUCCCCAGCCUCUUGAUCAACACCCUAGAAGGCCUUGGCGUUACGGAGCGCCCAAGGUACUACAGCCGAGAGUAUGAGCACCAUGUUACCCUCCGCUGCAGGGUGAUCCUGGUCAUCGCCAGGAGCAACCGCUACCCCGACAUCCAGCCUUGGCGAGCGACCGCCACGGGGUUUAGACACCAAGACACCUACCCCUUGGCCAUCAGAAAAACACUCCGUUAUCUGUGCCGGAUUUUUGAAGAACACCUCGCCCCCACGCCAGCCAAGUUCUUCCCGCCGGCCAUCAGAACCCCAGUCUGGGAAGCACGCAUGAGGAACCUGUAACGACGUCGCCACGAGGAAGGCCCCCUAUACCAAGUGGCUACUUACCUAGCCGCCCUGGACCAACUCUUUGAUGAGCAAGCCAACCUCCUAAGGGAGCAGACCCAUCGAGCCGAGCAAGCAGAGCUCGCAGUGAGGAUACAGCAGAUCCGAGCCGCCCACGCUGAGGCGAGAGCCACAGCCGCGGUCAGUAGCGAAGCAGUCGCCCAAGAGAGCCUCAGGCAGGCCCGAGACCGGCGUAUGCAAGAUUGGACCCAAAGCGGAACACCAGUCCCGGCAAUUGGGGAAGACCAUGUUUUACUCGGAACACCAGUCAUAGGGUGGGGAUCACUCUUUGGGAGCACACGAGCCCCACCCGAGAACCCUGAAAGUUCUGCUGCCGCCGGCGAAGGGGAUGCGGCAACGCAACCUCUGGCUGAUGGGAACCCAGAGGACGGCGAGCGAGGACCUCUCACACUCCCCACCACGGAAGAAGGCGCACUUCGCGAGUAGAGUGACCGACGCCGUCCCAGUGAUGCCCCCCCCCAGCCUUUCGGUUUACGACGUGCCCUUAGACAAGACCCUGGCCGAGUAGCACGAGACCUAGUCCUACCCCCAAGUUGUACCCCCCCUUGCAGUAAUAAAAUGAUUUGUGCUUGUUGUUUGUAAUGCUGUGUGCUGGUUGUUGUGUACUACUUGUUCAUAUGAGUACCGGCAGAAGGUAGAUUUUGCCUAAUAUACGAAUUAAACAACUUAACAUCACAUAAUCGUGACCCAAAUUUACUCAAUCAACAGGUGACCCCACGGAACGUCGCGAGGGCCUCCCGUAGCCGGAACCCCGCAACCACUGGUGCCGGAGCACAGCCUGUUGAACAAGAUCUUCCCCAAGGAGAACAAGAAGUAAGCCAGAACCGAGAGGGAAGUCAAGAAGGAGAACAACUACCACCACCCCCACCCCUCGGAAACUUGGCGCAGAUAAUCCAUAACCAGACCCUCAUUCUGGAAACACUGGCGAAUGCCCUCAUUAACCGGCAGCCACGAGGGCAGAAUAUGAACGACAAGCUGACGGCCUUUCUAAGGACCAAGCCACCCACUUUUGCCGGGUCUUGCAACCCGUUGGAUGCAGACGACUGGUUGCGAGUGAUUCAGAGGAAGCUCGAACCAUUCGAAUGCCAGGACCGGGACAAAGUUCUUUUAGCAGCCCACCAGCUCACCGGAACGGCAUUAUCCUGGUGGGAAAACUAUUGUGCCGCAGCCGAAGAUGCCUCUACCAUCACCUGGGGAGAAUUCGUAUGGGAAUUCCGCCACUAUCACAUUCCUUCGGCCACCAUGAAGCGCAAGGCGGAUGAAUUCCGCGCACUACAAUAAGGAAGCAUGACGGUGGAAGAAUACACCCACCGGUUUAUAGAAUUGGCCCGAUAUGCGCCGGAAGAGGUGAAUGACGACGAUAAAAAGCAAGACAUGUUCAAGAAGGGAUUAAGCCCAGAACUCCGGACUUUACUUACCCCCCAGAUCUAUCCGGACUUCAACACUCUGAUGAACAAAGCUAUCCUCACGGAAAGGGCCAAAGCCGAAGAGAGAAAGGAUAAUAAACGCAAAUUCCUGGAAAGUAAGGACCGCCAAUAGGACCGCUUCCAGAAGCCGAGGAACUCCAACUACACCGCACCAAGAUCCCAGGCCCCAAUGCAGUAUAGGACUCAGUCCCAAGUGACGGGAUCACGAGCCUCUGAAGCACAGCCUAAGAGCCAGAAUACCAUAAGGGCCCCGCAGAGCAACACCAGCCUGGCCGCCUCCGACAACAACAAUGUUAGGGCCUGUUUCAACUGCCGUGAGACGGGGCACUUCAUCGCCAAUUGCCCCUACGCCAAGAAUAAGCCGGCAAUGUCGGCCUUCUCCAACACGGUGAAUGGGCUCAGACCAGCCCUGACCGGUGCCAACCGAGUGCCCGUCCGCAACAACGAUGGCAGCCAGCAGGUGAAGUAGCAAUCAUUUGGACGAGCCCGCGUCAAUCACAUCGACGCGCAGGAGGCUCAAGAAGCUCAGGGCGUAGUGCUCGGUGAGUAUCUAGUAAACUCAGCUCUGGCAACGGUACUAUUUGAUUCUAGAGCAUCGCACUCGUUUAUAUCCUCGAGCUAUGUGGAGAAACACAAAAUACCUACAGUACUACUAAAAACACCCCUAUUAACCCGGACGCCUGGAGGCGACAUCAAUUGUCAAUUAGGUUGUCCACGGGUAAGGAUCAAUUUAAGUGGGGUAGACUUUCUAGCGGAUUUGGUAGUACUUAAAGCUGGGGGAAUAGACGUGAUCCUUGGGAUGGACUGGUUAAGCCGACACAAUGGUCUCAUAGGCUGUACCGACAAAGUGGUACACCUAACAAACCACGAAGGAGUACAAGUGAUCUGCCAUACCCGGGAUAGUAAGUUUGACCCAAUGGUAUUUAGCAUGGAAGCCAAGCCCUUAGAAGGAGUCCCGGUAGUAAACGAAUACCCAGAUGUAUUCCCCGAAGAGCUUCCCGGUAUGCCGCCGGACAGGGAUAUAGAGUUCGUCAUAGACCUUAUCCCCGGAACAUCCCCUAUAGCCAAGAGACCCUAUAGGAUGGCGACCUCUGAGUUAACAGAAUUAAAGAAGCAACUAGAAGAACUGCAACGAAUUGGCUUUAUUAGACCAAGCUCGUCGCCGUGGGGAGCCCCAGUGCUGUUUGUCAAGAAGAAAGAUGGGAGUAUGAGGUUGUGCGUGGACUACCGAGCACUGAAUGAGGUUACCAUUAAGAAUAAGUACCCCCUCCCCAGGAUUGAUGACUUGUUCGAUCAGCUAAAAGGAGCCAAGUACUUUUCCAAGAUUGAUCUAAGGUCGGGAUAUUUCUAGCUCAGAAUUAGAGAAAGUGACAUCCCUAAAACAGCUUUUGUCACCCGCUACGGGCAGUUUGAGUUCACUGUAAUGUCCUUCGGACUAACCAAUGCCCCUGCCUAUUUUAUGAACCUCAUGAAUAAGGUAUUCAUGGACGAGCUAGAUAAGUUUGUCGUAGUCUUUAUCGACGACAUACUCAUCUACUCCAAGAGUGUUCAGGAACACGAGCAACAUCUGCGGGUAGUUCUGGAAAAGCUAAGGAUACAUAAGCUAUAUGCCAAAUUUAGCAAGUGUGAAUUCUGGCUGGAGAGAGUAGCUUUCCUUGGUCACAUCCUGACUGCGGAAGGCGUGGCAGUGGACCCAGAGAAGGUCGAAGCCAUAUCCAAUUGGCAGCAACCGACUAACGUUAGUGAAGUCAGAAGUUUUCUGGGAAUAGCCGGGUACUAUCGAAGAUUUAUUGAGGGAUUCUCUAAGAUAGCCCGACCCAUGACGGAACUUCUUAAGAAAGAGAAAAAGUUUGCUUGGACGGAAUCCUGUGAGAAAUGUUUUCAAGAACUGAAGCGAAGGUUGACAACCGCCCCAGUGCUGACCCUGCCGGAUAUUCAUCGAGACUUUGUCAUUUAUUGUGAUGCAUCCCGACAAGGAUUAGGGUGUGUGCUGAUGCAAGGCGGGAAAGUCGUUGCAUAUGCUUCCCGCCAACUCAGGACUCAUGAGCUGAAUUAUCCGACCCAUGAUUUGGAAUUAGCAGCCGUGGUGCAUGCCCUUAAGAUUUGGAGACACUACUUAAUUGGAAAUAAGUGCGAGGUUUACACCGAUCACAAGAGUCUGAAGUAUAUCUUCACCCAGCCGGAUUUAAACUUAAGGCAAAGAAGAUGGUUGGAGUUGGUCAAGGACUACGACUUGGAAAUUCUUUAUCACCCCGGGAAAGCAAACGUAGUAGCCGAUGCCUUAAGUCGGAAAAGCUAUGGACCCGAGGGUGACCAUCUACGCGAGGAAAUGGCACGAUUAAAUGUGCACCUGAUUCCUCGAGGUUCCAGUCAAGUACUAAACGUCCAAUCGACGCUAGAGGAUAGAAUUAGAGGAGCCCAAAGCUCAGAUCAGGAGUUGAUGAAAAUCUGCAAACAAACCGGAGAAAACAAAGCGCCAGGUUUCAGGGUGGACGAUAAGGGAACCUUAUGGUACGAGAAUAGGAUUUGUGUACCCCAGAAUGGGGAUUUCCGGCAAUUGAUCAUGGAUGAAGCCCAUAACUCGGCCUACUCCAUCCACCCAGGAUCCACCAAAAUGUAUAUGGACAUAAGGCAAAAAUAUUGGUGGAAUGGGAUGAAGGCGGAUAUCGCAAGAUUCGUGGCUCAUUGUGAUACUUGCCAAAGGAUUAAAGCCGAACAUCAGAAACCGGCAGGAUUAUUGCAACCCUUGCCUAUCCCGGUGUGGAAAUGGGAUGAGAUAGGGAUGGACUUUGUGGUGGGUCUACCUAAAACACAAAAGGGACACGAUUCCAUAUGGGUAAUAGUGGAUCGACUCACUAAAUCGGCUCAUUUUAUACCCGUACGAACCACUUAUGGUGGAGAAAAGCUGGCAAAGCUUUAUGUAGAAAACAUAGUAAAGUUACAUGGGGUGCCUAGCCGAAUUGUCUCAGAUAGAGGAACCCAAUUCACCUCUAGGUUUUGGAGGAGCUUGCAUCAAGCCAUGGGCACCAAGUUAGAUUUUAGCUCCGCAUAUCACCCACAGACGGAUGGUCAAACCGAAAGGGUGAAUCAGAUUGUGGAAGACAUGUUGAGAGCAUGUGUCCUGACCUACGGAAAUGACUGGGAGCAGAGUCUGCCUUAUGCAGAAUUCUCGUACAACAAUAGUUACCAAGCCAGUUUGGGCAUGUCGCCAUUCGAGGUCCUCUAUGGGAGAAAGUGCAAAACUCCCUUGAUGUGGUCGGAAGUUGGAGAACGUGCACUAGUAGGGCCCGCGAGAAAUUGAAAGCGGCUCAGUCCCGACAAAAGAGUUACGCAGACAGGAAAAGGCGAGAAAUAAGUUUCCACCCAGGAGAUUUUGUUUAUCUCAAAGUCUCGCCCAUCCGAGGAACGCGAAGGUUUCAAGUGCAAGGAAAAUUGGCCCCUCGAUACAUUGGAUCGUAUCGAGUUCUGAAGAGAGUCGGAGCAGUAGCGUACCAACUGGAGUUACCAGAAGAAAUGUCGGAUAUACACCCAGUAUUUCAUGUCACGCAAUUAAGAAGGUGUUUGAGAGUACUCGAGGGAGAACAUGUGCCAGUGGAAACAAUAGACCUGCAGCCGGAUCUGCGAUACCAGGAGGUACCGGUCAAAAUUCUAGACACUGUCACUAGAAGGACAAGAAACUCCGAAGUACGGAUAUGCCGGGUUCAAUGGAGCAGACAUGGAGUAGAAGAAGCGACAUGGGAACGCGAAGAGGCCCUAAAGAAGGAAUUUCCCCAUCUAUUUAGGAACCAGCCGAAUCUCGAGGACGAGAUUCAUUUAAGUGGGGUAGGUUUGUGACGCCCUGAAAAUUUCAAAUUUAAACUACGCGUUAAGGUGUCCUGACCGAAAAUGUAUUUGUCGUAAAACCCUGACUCUCUCCGUUUCACCGUCACACUGACGGCCGACGCGAGCCUGACCGCCGUCUCAUCCUGCACCGCUCACGUGCUAGAGUAAUUCGUAAAAACGGUUCAAUUUCAAAACCCUAACCCUAACCGGAUCACUGUUCCGUUCCGCAUCGCUCGAUGGCUUGUCGCUCACGCGCGACCGCCCGCCGCGAUUAGUGCCGGCGCUUCUCGUGCAGCGCGCGAAUCCCGCGCGCGCAUGGCCGACCGGCCGCGGUCGCCGCCGCGACCGGCGCCGACGCGUCCCUCCCCCUCUCUCUCCUUCUCUCCUUUUUCUUUCCCUCCACGCUCCACCUCAGCCCGAGGUGAGGCCGGGGAUGGGAUCCCCACGCGCCCCUCUCCCUUUUCCCCCACCCCCGGACCGCCGCCGUGCCCUGGCCGGCCGGAUCGGGCCGCCGCCGGCGCCCUGCCUCCCCCCUCCUCUGUUUUGCACGGGGGAGGAGGAAGAAGGGGCAUUUUGCCCACAGCCCCCUCCUUUUCCCCCUUUUCCCAAGAAGCCCCCCCCCUCUAGGAGCACCCUAUCCACUUCCUUUUUGUAAAAGAAACCUCGCGCGUUCGUUAUUUCAAUUUGAGCCCUCGAUACAUAAACCUAGUUAUACUCGACACAUUUUACCAUGCUCAGGGUAUUUCUAGGAUUCGUAAAUAGGUCCUUACUCUUUCCGAACAUUUACAAACAAGCCCCUGGACCCCCCGCUUAACCCCUGAAACCACCUUUAGCGCGUCAUUUUAUGUGCGAAAUGACCUCCGAUCGACCCGAAACUUCACCACGCCCUUUCUAGUAUAGUUUUAGUCAUGCCAUUAAGAAACCACCCAAAGAUAUCACCCCUAACUCCGUAACUAAAUUAUUUCCGAUUCAAGCCCAACGAUAAAAGCUUUUAGUUCUUUCGCUUGAUUGUAUGUCUGUUUGUUUGCGUCGUAGGGCACGGAGUGAACGAAGAAAUUCCCGACUGCGACCAAGCAACCGAGGACCAGUUCUGCGACCUCGAACCCGAGGGACAGUGCGUCGAUCAGGACCUCCCGCAAGGGUUUGAUGAUGGCAAGUUCAAUUCCGCCCUUUGAUGCAUAUUUUUGUCCUAGUUUUUAUAAACACAACCCAGUGGCCUGUUUUAUAAAAUUGCAUGGUUUUGCGUGCCGUAAACAUGGUAGGAUAGCCACCCUUGUUGUGAUAACCAUACCUUGAACACCUGAUUUUAUAAAGAAAAUGCGUGUGUGUGGGAAGGGAUAAAAUGUGGUUUUGAAAAGUGAGUCAGACGGGAUGGAUGGCAUUUCUGUGUGAAUUGCCGUUGGUGUGCUCGUACCUGUGUGGUUGAGCGUGAAAGGGAGAUAUCCAUCUUGUCACCCCUAAGGACCGAGUUGAUGUGUCGUCUCACCUAGCUUCCUGUCGUGCAAACCACUUGACCGUUGUAUGGGCAACGGCUUAGCCUAACCCCACUAGUUAGUCUGAUAGCCAUCAGGAGAGCUGGGAGCAACGGGUGAUCAAGGAGACGGGAUAAGCUCUGUGUGACUUAUGCCCCGGUUAAACCUCGGUGUUAGGUCGAAUGACCCCUUGAUAGAUCCCGUGGUGGCUAGCCAGAUCUAGCUAAGGUGGGUAAGGGCUUCGAUGGGAUCUGCACCGGCACUAAGGUGUUCGUGCUGUGGUACCCCACCUGUGGGUAAAGUUGCACACCUCUGCAGAGUUAAAAUAUAUUCGAAUAGCCGUGCCCACGGUACUGGGCAAGUUACGGUGUGGUCACAUAACUAGUGUUUUUCUCUGGGAUGGAUGGGCGGGCGUGAGUUGUUUGGAAAGUGUCCGGCAGAUGUGCUGUGUGCUACGGCGGACGGGGAGUCUGGUAGCGAUUUAAAACGUGGAUCCUGUGUGUAUCCACAUCAUGUGUUCUUUGAUAGUUGAAAACUUAUUUUGAAAGUGUUUUCCAAAACGAACCCUUGCAUAUAACCGAGCUUUCCGUAAAUAAACCCUAACUCCAUCCUUGAAUAUUUCCUGUGCAUUUAAUUCUGUUGUACCCCCCCUCCGUGGGUGUGAUUGGACAUGCUGACUACGUUUGUACUCACCCCGUUCUUACUUUACAGUGGAAGAUCCCGACUACAUCCCCGAGGACAUCGAGUAGGGUCCCGUCCUGCACCCAGUCUUGCCUGUGGGUGAGGUCGCCGUUGGAGCUCCGCAUGGCGCAAGACUCUGAUGAUCCCCUUUUCGUAGCUAGUGUAGUAGUAUGGGUUUUUGUUGUAAUCCUCGCGAUAGUGGCGAUUCACUGCCCAUUACCGCGGAGAGUUGUACGGUGAUGUACCAUCUGAUGUAAUAAAAGUGUUAUCAGCCUCCUGGGACUGAUAAAGUAACACUUUUAAGUCUUCCCUGAUGAGGGGGACGCUUCAGAAAGAAAAGAGAGGGGAAAAAAAGAAAAGGAAAAGUAAAGAAGGAAAAAAUUAGUGCGCGUCGGCGGUAUUCGCGGCGGCGACCGUGCGGCGAAAUUCACGGUGGCGACCGCGGCUGGUUAGCCCCGCGUGCGCUGCGUUCGCGCGCUGCGCGAAGAGAAAAAGGUGACGUGAUCGUGAUUGGAUUCGGGUGUCGGCCUCGGCUCCCGGGGAGUUAGGGUUUCGACAAAAUGGUGCUCGAAAGCUAAAAUUUUAGCGUGUAAUUUAUGGGUAAUUUUUUUCGGGAUGUCACAAACCUACCCCACUUAAAAAUGAAUCUCGUCCCCGAGAUUCGACUGGCUACUAAAUAGAUGGGGAAAUUCCUUCUUUAGCGCAUCUUCGCGUUCCCAUGUCGCUUCUUCUACUCCAUGUCUGCUCCACUGAACUCUGCAAAUCCGUACUUCGGAGUUCCUUGUCCUUCUAGUGACUGUGUCCAGAAUUUUGACUGGUACUUUCUGGUAUCGCAGAUCCGGUUGCAGGUCUAUUGUCUCCGCUGGCACGUGUUCACCUUCGGGUACUCUCAAGCAUCUUCUUAAUUGCGAGACAUGAAAUACUGGGUGUAUAUCAGACAUUUCUUCUGGUAACUCCAGUCGGUACGCUACUGCUCCGACUCUCUUCAGGACUCGAUACGGUCCAAUAUAUCGAGGGGCCAAUUUUCCUUGUACUUGAAACCUUCGCGUUCCUUGAAUGGGUGAGACCUUGAGAUAGACAAAGUCGCCUGGGUUGAAACUUAUUUCUCGCCUCUUCUUGUCUGCGUAGCUCUUUUGUCGCGACUGUGCUGCUUUCAAUUUCUCACGGAUCUCAGCUACUUUUUCUUCCGCUUCUUUUAUGAGUGCGGGUCCUACUAGGGCACAUUCCCCAACUUCUGACCACAUCAGGGGAGUUUUGCACUUCCUUCCAUAGAGGGCUUCGAACGGCGACAUGCCCAAGCUGGCUUGAUAACUAUUAUUGUAUGAGAAUUCCGCAUAAGGCAGACUCUGCUCCCAGUCCUUCCCGUAGGUCAGGACACAUGCUCUCAGCAUAUCUUCCAUAAUCUGGUUUACCCUCUCGGUCUGACCAUCCAUCUGUGGAUGGUAUGCGGAGCUGAAAUCUAACUUGGUACCCAUGGCUUGAUGCAAGCUUUUCCAGAACCUAGAGGUAAAUUGGGUCCCUCUAUCUGAGACAAUCCUGCUAGGUACUCCGUGCAGCUUUACUAUAUUCUCCACAUAGAGUUUUGCCAGUUUUUCUCCUCCGUAGUUAGUUCGUACGGGUAUGAAAUGUGCCGAUUUAGUAAGUCGAUCCACUACUACCCAUAUGGAAUCGUGUCCCUUCUGUGUUUUAGGUAGACCCACUACAAAGUCCAUUCCUAUCUCCUCCCAUUUCCACAUAGGGAUAGGCAAGGGUUGCAAUAAUCCUGCCGGCUUUUGAUGUUCGGCCUUGAUCCUUUGGCAGGUAUCACAAUGAGCUACAAAUCUUGCAAUAUCCACCUUCAUUCCAUUCCACCAAUAUUUUUGCCUUAUGUCCAUAUACAUUUUGGUGGAUCCUGGGUGGAUGGAGUAGGCCGAGUUAUGGGCUUCGUCCAUGAUUAUCCGCCUGAAGUCUCCGUUCUGGGGUACACAAAUCCUAUCCUCGUACCAUAACGUUCCCUUAUCAUCUACUCUGAAACCCGGUGCUUUGUUUUCUCCAGUUUGUUUGCGAAUCUUUACUAACUCUUGAUCCGAUCCUUGAGCCUCUCUGAUCCUAUCCUCUAAUGUUGAUCGGACGUUCAGCACCUGACUGGAGCCUCUAGGGAUAACAUGCACAUUUAAUCGUGCCAUUUCCUCGCGUAGAUGGUCAUCCUUGGGUCCAUAGGUUUUCCGGCUUAAGGCGUCGGCUACCACGUUCGCCUUUCCGGGGUGAUACUGAAUUUCCAAAUUAUAGUCCUUGACCAACUCCAACCAUCUCCUUUGCCUUAGGUUUAAAUCCGGCUGGGUGAAGAUAUACUUCAGGCUCUUGUGGUCGGUGUAAACCUCACACUUAUUUCCAAUCAGGUAAUGUCUCCAAAUCUUAAGGGCAUGCACUACGGCUGCUAAUUCCAAAUCAUGGGUCGGAUAAUUCUGCUCAUGAAUCCUGAGUUGGCGGGAAGCAUAUGCAACGACUUUCCCGUUCUGCAUCAGUACACACCCUAAUCCUUGUCGGGAUGCAUCACAAUAAAUGACAAAGUCCCGAUGAAUGUCCGGUAGGGUCAGCACUAGGGCGGUUGUCAACCUUUGCUUCAAUUCUUGAACACUUAUUUCGCAAUUUUCCGUCCAGGCGAACUUCUUCUCCUUCUUAAGAAGUUCCGUCAUGGGUCGGGCUAUCUUAGAGAAUCCCCCAAUAAACCUCCGAUAGUACCCGGCCAGUCCAAGAAAACUUCUGAUUUCGCUAACGUUGGUCGGCCGCUGCCAGUUGGAGACCGCUUCGACCUUCUCCGGGUCCACUGCUACGCCUUCAGCGGUCAGGAUGUGACCAAGGAAAGCUACCCUCUCUAGCCAGAAUUCACACUUGCUAAAUUUGGCAUAUAGUUUAUGCAUCCUUAGCUUUUCCAACACUACCCGCAGAUGUUGCUCAUGUUCCUGAACACUCUUGGAGUAGAUAAGUAUGUCGUCGAUAAAGACUACGACAAACUUAUCCAGCUCGUCCAUGAAUACUUUGUUCAUAAGAUUCAUAAAAUAGGCAGGGGCAUUGGUUAGUCCGAAGGACAUUACGGUGAACUCAAACUGCCCGUAGCGGGUGACAAAAGCUGUCUUAGGGAUGUCACUUUCUUUAAUUUUGAGCUGGAAAUAUCCCGACCUUAGGUCGAUCUUGGAAAAGUAUUUGGCUCCUUUUAGCUGAUCGAACAGGUCAUCAAUCCUGGGGAGGGGGUACUUAUUCUUAAUGGUAACCUCGUUCAGCGCUCGGUAGUCUACACACAGCCUCAUACUCCCAUCUUUCUUCUUGACAAACAGCACUGGGGCUCCCCAUGGCGACGAGCUUGGUCUAAUGAAGCCAAUUCGUUGCAGUUCUUCUAGUUGCUUCUUUAAUUCUGUUAACUCAGAGGCUGCCAUCCUAUAGGGUCUCUUGGCUAUCGGAGAGGUUCCGGGGAUAAGGUCUAUGAUGAACUCUAUAUCCCUGUCCGGCGGCAUACCGGGAAGCUCCUAGGGGAAUACAUUUGGGUAUUCGUUUACUACCGGGACUCCUUCUAAGGGCUUGGCUUCCAUGCUAAAUACCAUUGGGUCAAACUUACUAUCUCGGGUACGGCAGAUCACUUGUACUCCUUCGUGGUUUGUUAGGUGUACCACUUUGUCAGUACAGCCUAUGAGACCAUUGUGCCGGCUUAACCAGUCCAUUCCAAGGAUCACGUCUAUUCCCCCAGACUUAAGUACUACCAAAUCUGCUAGAAAGUCUACCCCACUUAAAUUGAUCCUUACCCGUGGACAUCCUAAUUGACAAUUGAUGUCGCCUCCAGGCGUCCGGGUUAAUAGGGGGGUUUUUAGUAGUACUGUAGGUAUUUUGUGUUUCUCCACAUAGCUCGAGGAUAUAAAUGAGUGCGAUGCUCCAGAAUCAAAUAGUACUGUUGCCAGAGCUGAGUUGACUAGGUACUCACCGAGCACUACGCCCUGGGCUUCCUGAGCCUCCUGCGCGUCGAUGUGAUUGACGCGGGCUCCUCCAAACGAUUGCUGCUUCACCUGCUGGUUGCUGUCGUUAUUGCGGACGGGCACUCGGUUGGCACCGGUCAGAGCUGGUCUGGGCCCAUUCACUGUGUUGGAGAAGGCCGACGUUGCCGGCUUAUUCUUGGCGUAGGGGCAAUUGGCGAUGAAGUGCCCUGUCUUACGGCAGUUGAAACAGGCCCUAACAUUGUUGUUGUCGGAGGCGGCCAGGCUUGUGUUGCUCUGCGGGGCCCUCAUGGUAUUCUGACUCUUAGGCUGUGCUUCAGAGGCUCGUGAUCCUGUCACUUGGGACUGAGUCCUAUAUUGCAUUGGGGCCUGGGAUCUUGGUGCAGUGUAGUUGGAGUUCCUCGACUUUUGGAAGCGGUCCUGCUGGCGAGCCUUACUUUCCAGGAAUUUGCGUUUAUUGUCCUUUUUCUCCUCGGCUUUGGCCCUUUCUGUGAGGAUAGCCUUGUUCAUCAGGGUGUUGAAGUCCGGAUAGAUCUGUGGGGUAAGCAAGGUCCGGAGUUCUGGGCUUAAUCCCUUAUUGAACAUGUCCUGCUUUUUAUCGUCGUCGUUCACUUCUUCCGGCGCAUAUCGGGCCAAUUCUAUGAACCGGUGGGUGUAUUCUUCCACCGUCAUACUUCCUUGUUGUAGUGCGCGGAAUUCAUCCGCCUUGCGCUUCAUGGUUGCCGAAGGAAUGUGAUAGCGGCGGAACUCCCUUACGAAUUCUCCCCAGGUGAUGGUAGCAGCAUCUUCGGCUGCGGCACUAUAGUUUUCCCACCAGGAUAAUGCUGUCCCGGUGAGCUGGUGGGCUGCCAGAAGGACUUUGUCCCGAUCCUGGCAUUCGAAUGGUUCGAGCUUCCUCUGAAUCACUCGCAACCAGUCGUCAGCAUCCAACGGGUUGCAGGAUCCGGGAAAGGUGGGUGGCUUGGUCCUUAGAAAGGCCGUCAGCUUGUCGUUCAUAUUCUGCCCUCGUGGCUGCCGGUUAAUGAGGGCAUUCGCCAGUGUCUCUAGAAUGAGGGUCUGGUUAUGGAUUAUCUACGCCAGGUCUCCGAGGGGUGGGGGUGGUGGUAGUUGCUCUCCUUCUUGACUUCCUCCUCGGUUCUGGCUUACUUCUUGUUCUCCUUGGGGAAGAUCUUGUUCAACGGGCUGUGCUCCGACACUAGCGGCUACGGGGUUCCGGCCACGGGAGGCCCUCGCGACGUACCGGGGGGUCACCUGUUGAUUGGGUAAAUUGGGGUUACGAUUAUGUGAUGUUUAAGUUGUUUAAUUCGUAUGUAUAAGGCAGAUUCUACCUUCUGCCGGUACCCAUAUAAACAAGCAGCACACAACAAGCUAGCACACAAUCACAAUCAACAACACAACCCUUUUUAUUAUUGCAAGGGGGGGUACAACUUGGGGAUACGACUAGAUCUCGUGCUACUCGGCCAAGGCUGGGAAGGGGCAUCACUGGGAUGGCGUUGGUUACUCUACUUGCGCGGUGUGCCUUCUUCCGGGGCGGAAAGGGUGAGAGGUCCUCGCUCGCCGUCUUCUGGGUUCCCAUCGGUCAGGGGUUGCAUUGCAGUAUCCCCUUCCUCGGUGGCAGCAGAAUUUUCAGGGUUCUCGGGUGGGGCUUGUGUGCUCCCAAAGAGUGAUCCCCACCCUAUGACGGGUGUCCCAAGUAAAACAUGGUCUUCCCCAAUUGCCGGGACUGGUGUUCCGCUUUGGGUCCAAUCUUGCAUACGCCGGUCUCGGGCUUGCCUGAGGCUCUCUUGGGCGACCGCUUCGCUACUGACCGCGGCUGCGGCUCUUGCCUCGGCGUGGGCGGCUCGGAUCUGCUGUAAUCUUACUGCGAGCUCCGCUUGCUCGGCUCGAUGGGUCUGCUCCCUUAGAAGGUUGGCUUGCACAUCAAAAAGUUGGUCCAGGGCGGCUAGGUAGGUAGCCACUUGGUACAGGGGGCCUUCUUCGUGACGGCGUCAUUCCAGGUUUCUCAUGCGUGCUUCCCAGACUGGGGUUCUGUUGGCCGGCGGGAAGAACUUCGCUGGCGUGGGGGCGAGGUGUUCUUCAAAAAUCUGGCACAAAUAACGGAGUGCUUUUCUGAUGGCCAAGGGGUAGGUGUCUUGGUGUCUAAACCCUGUGGCGGUCGCUCGCCAAGGCUGAAUGUUGGGGUAGCGGUUGCUCCUGGCGAUGACCAGGAUCACCCUGCAGCGGAGGGUACCAUGGUGUUCGUACUCUCGGCUGUAGUACCUUGGGCAUUCUGUAACGCCAAGGUCCUCCAGGGUGUUGAUUAAGAGGCCGGGAAAGCCAGGUGCUGCUUGGCAAUCGCCCUGGGUCCAUCCUUCCUCAGCCAUCUGAAACAGGAAUAGGGUAAACAAAUUUUGCACAGGUACAACGAGGGAGUAGAUAACAUUUAUUAUUGCAACAUGAGGGUACAGUUCCCAUGGCUACGUGGUUAUUAUUACGGUAGGGUUCUAGCUCAGAGUGCUAAUCCUAUUAUGGGGAUUCUUCCUCGGUCCUGAUGGAGCGCUUCUUUAUUGGAAGGAACCGAUCCAUCUCAUUUUCGGUCUGAGUACCCUUAUCCCAAUGGGUUUCCAUGGGCUCUUCCUCUUCUUCCUCUAUCCAUCCACCUAUUCCGUUGCGGUUCUCGUAUUCUUGCAUCUGGGCUUGGAGGGCGGCUACGGAAUACUCGGCGCUUGCGGCUCUUGUCCGUUGUUCCUCCAGUUCCGGGGUUAUCUUUUCAAUCCCAUGGAUUAGCUGCUUCAGUUGUGCCGCCUGUUCGCGGUAGAGUGCAUCCAAGCCAGUAAGGUAGAUGGACAGGUGGGAGACCGUAUCUUCUAGGUCUUCUUCUUCUCGUCCAAGUCCCCUCAUCUGGGCAAUCCAAGUGCGUCCUCUUCCCUCAGCGGGUGGGAAAAAUCCCAUAGGAGUCCGCUGAAGGUGGUGCCUGUAGAGCACACGCAGCCGUCGCAAGGCUUUGCGGGCGGCCUUUCGAUAGGUGUCGGGGAAACGGAAGCCAGCGAUGGAGAUGAACCAAGGGUCCACAUCAGGGUAGCGGGUGCUUCUCCCCACAAAAACCAUCAUGUCGCACCGAAGGGUGCCUCCGGCGAUGUACUCACGGUAGGCAUACUCCGGUGGUUCCAUAAUCCCAACGCGUUCCAGGCUGAGCAAUAGUAACUUGGGGAGACCGGGCUCUGCGUGGCAGAUUCCGCUAACCCAUCCAUUGCCAGCCAUCUGGAACAAGGCAAAGACCAGUGGUGAGUGUUUAUGCAGAAAGUUUCUAAAUCGGGACAAGUUCUAGGGUCUGAAAAGGGGUCUCGCUCCUAGGGUCACGUCCUACGGCCAGCCUACGGCUCUGAUACCACCUGAAGCGUCCCCCCAUCAGGGAAGACUUAAAAGUGUUGCUUUAUCAGUCCCAGGAGGCUGAUAACACUUUUAUUACAUCAGAUGGUACAUCACCGUACAACUCUUCGCGGUAAUGGGCAGUGAAGCGCCACUAUCGUGAGGAUCACAACUAAAACCCAUACUACUACACUAACUACGAAGAGGGAAUCAUCAGAGUCUUGCGCCAUGCGGAGCUCCAACGGUGACCUCACCCACAGGCAAGACUGGGUGCAGGACGGAACCCUACUCGACGUCUUCGGGGAUGUAGUCGGGAUCUUCCACUAUAAAAGUAAGAACGGGGUGAGUACAGACGUACUCAGCAAGUUCGAUCACACCCACGGAGGGGGGUAUAAUAGAAUUUAAUGCACAGGAUAAUCAAAAGAUAAGGUUAUGGUUCUUUUACGGAAACUCGGUUAUAUGCAGGGGUUCAUUUUAAAAACAUUUUCAAAACAAGCUUUCCAGUACCAAGGAGCACACGGUGUUGACCCACACAGGAUCCAAGUUUAAACUGCUACCGGACUUCCCAUCCGCCGUAGCUCACGGCACAUCUGCCGGACACAUUCCAAACAACUCACACCAGCCCAUCCAUUCCCAGAGAGAAACACUAGUUAUGUGACCACACCGUAACUUGCCCGAUACCGUGGGCACGGCUAUUCGAAUAGAUUUUAUCUCUGCAGAGGUGUGCAACUUUACCCACAGGUGGGGUACCACAGCACGAACACCUUAGUGCCAGUGCAGAUCCCAUCAAAGCCCUCACCCACCUUAGCUAGACCUGGCUAGCCACCACGGGAUCUAUCAAGGGGUCAUUCGACCUAACACCGAGGUUUAACCGGGGCAUAAGUCACACAGAGCUUAUCCCGUCUCCUUGAUCACCCGUUGCUCCCAGCUCUCCUGAUAGCUAUCAGACUAACUAGUGGGGUUAGGCUAAGCCGUUGCCCAUACAACGGUCAAGUGGUUUGCACGACAGGAAGCUAGGUGAGACGACACAUCAACUCGGUCCUUAGGGGUGACAAGAUGGAUAUCUCCCUUUCACGCUCAACCACACAGGUACGAGCACACCAACUGCAAUUCACACAGAAAUGCCAUCCAUCUCGUCUGACUUACUUUUCAAAACCACCUUUUAUCCCUUCCCACACGCACACACACUUUCUUUGCAAAACCAAAUGGUCAAGGUAUGGUUAUCACAAGUAAGGUGGCUAUCCUACCAUGUUUUCAGCACGCAAAACCAUGCAAUUUUAUAAAACGGGCCACUGGGUUGUGUUUAUAAAAACUAGGACAGAAACAUGCAUCAAAGGGCGGGAUUGAACUUGCCAUCGUCAAGUCCUUGCGGAAGGUCCUGAUCGAAGCACUGUCCUUCGGGUUCGGGGUCGCAGAACUGGUCCUCGGUUGCUUGGUCGCAGUCGGGAACUUCUUCGUUCACUCCGUGUCCUACGACGCAAACAAAACAGGCAUGCAAUCAAGCGAGAGAACUAAAAGCUUUUAUCGUUGAGCUUGAAUCGAAAAUAAUUUAGUCACGGAGGUAGGGGUAAUAUUUUUGGGUGGUUUCUUAAUGGCAUGGCUAAAACUAUACUAGAAAUGGAGUGGUAAAGUUUUGGGUCAAUCGGAGGUCGUUUCGCACAUAAAAUGACGAGCUAAAGGGGGUUCGGGUGGUUAAACAGGGCUCCAGGGGUUUAUUCGUAAGUAUCUGGAGGGGGCAAGGGCCUAUUUGCAAAUUCUAGAAAUACGCAGGGCACGCUAAAGGAUGCCAAGUAUAAUUGGGUUUGUGUAAUGGAGGGUUUAUUUUGAAAUAACGGAAAGAACAGGGCCUUUUCUGCAAAGGAGAGUAAGUAGAGGGGGGUUCCUUUGAGAAAAUACAGGAAAGGGGGGGGGUUACGGGCAAAACUGCCCUUCUCCUUCCUCUCCCCCAUACCGAACAGAGGAAGGGGAAGGGGACGCCGGCGCCCGGCUGAUUCCGGCGGCCGGGGGCAUGGCGGCGGCCGGAGUUAGGGUGAGAGGGGGAGGGGGGCGAGGGGAACCGGUCCCCGGCCUCACCUCGGGCCGGGACGGCGCGUGGAGGCGGGGCGACGGAGGCCGACGGCGGCGGGCAGAGCGGCCGGUGGGGCGGCGAGGGGAGCUUGGGAAGGGAGCUGGGGGGUGGUGGCGCGAGUUGUGGAGGUGCCGAGGUGCGGGGGGUGCUAUUUAUAGGCGGCCGCGGUGGAGGAGCGGGCGAGCGGCUGGUGGCCGGCGGGGCGGCUCCGGGGCGGCCAUUAAUGGCGCCCGGGGUCGCGACGCGGCGUGCGGCGGUGCAGGCGUCGAGGGUGGCGUCGAGCACGUGGGGAGGCGGCGCCGGCGCUGUGCGGUACAGGGCGGCGCGGGCGGCGAGGCCGGGGCGACAGCGGCGGGCGGCGCGGCGGCCGUGCUUGCGCGUGCGUGCCGUGGCCGUGCGCGUACGCGUGCGCGUGGGUCGCGUGCGCGUGCGGUCCGGCGGCGCGCGCGUGUACGGCGGCUUGCGCGCGAGGGUGGGGCGGCGUGGCCGGGGCCAGAGGCCGGGCGACGCGGCUCGGGAGCUCGGGAGCAGGGGAGGGAGGAAGGAGCAGGAAGGAAGAAAAAGAAAAGGGAGGGAAGGAAGAAAAGGAAAAGGGGAAAAAGGAAAAAGGGAAGGGAAAGAAAAGAGAGGGGAAAAAAAAGAAAAGGAAAAGAAAAGAAGGAAAAAAUUAGUGCGCGUCGGCGGUAUUCGCGGCGGCGAUCGUGCGGCGAAAUUCGCGGCGGCGACCGCGGCUGGUUAGCCCCGCGUGCGCUGCGUUCGCGCGCUGCGCGAAGAGAAAAAGGUGACGUGAUCGUGAUUGGAUUCGGGUGUCGGCCUCGGCUCCCGGGGAGUUAGGGUUUCGACAAAACGGUUCUCGAAAACGAAAAUUUUAGCGUGUAAUUUAUGGGUAAUUUUUUUCGGGAUGUCACACUCUACAAGCUCAAAGUGGAGCCCAUCGGCUACCACCUCCCGUCCUUUGGUAGGGCUUCGAGGAUCCGUUCUCCAUUCCUCAUUGUCUAGCUUGUCACUCAUGUUCUCUCCCCCCUCCAUUUUCUAUGCUCUAAUGAUGUAGUUGUUAUAUUGUUUGGCCAGAUGUAUGUUGUAUUGUUGAUAAUUGUUUUUGGUUAGAUCUGGUAGGCCAUAUUGUAGAUCUGGUACCUGUCAGACCCGGGGGAUUGCUCGUACAAUAGCUAGUCGGACACGGUAGGAAACUACCCGAGAAGUACUCGGGUAGGACUCUUGGGCUUGUACCCGACUAGGACUUCCAUGUAAAAUCUGUCCUCCCAGACUAUAUAAGGGCGGAUAGGGACCCUCUUCGGGACAAUCAUCAUCAAAGGCAAUACAAACCAUACAGGACGUAGGAUAUUGCGCUCUCAGCGGCCCGAACCUGUCUAAAACCUUGCGUUCCUUUGCACCUUCGAGUUCCUAAUCGCGGCGACAACCUACCUACAAACUCACCAUCUCGGGGGUGUUUAUCGAGCAUCCACCGGAGAAUUCGAUGGCAUCCUUCAACUUCACCAGCACUGUGCUCGACGAAGGCACAACCUUCAUCUUCAGCUCCUAGAUCUGCGUCGCCAAUGGUUCGGGUGGCUUCAACAACCACCUAGCCAACUCCAAAGAGCCGGAAGCUUCUUCAUCAACUCCAAGCAGCGAUCUCAAUGACUUCAUUGACAACCUCGACGAUAUGCUGCGUCCCGAUCUGGCCCAGCAGAUCGAAAAGAAGUCCAUUUUCAACGCGACUUCCACUCAUGACGCACCAGAUCUAUUCGGGUCGGAUUCAAACCAAUCUGAAAAGACCUCACAAUCUAAAUCCCUCGCCGACUUGGAGGAGGAUUUGGAUCUGCUGCUUAAGAUCAAGGACGUGGGCGCCACCGUUUGCCGGGCGGCCCCCAUUUUCAACACCCACUCGGACGCCAACGAAGAUUACUCCCCGUGCAGCACUACACCUUCAAGCCGUGCCCGAAAAGGACUCGGAGACGAGGGAGUCAAAGCUUGUCGGGCGGCCCCUGCCCUUGAAAACCACUCGCAACCCGACGGCCACACCAAAAUGUUUUCGAGCAGCCUUCUGGGUUUAACCAUCACAUCAACGCCGCAAGGAUGUUUCAUGUACUGGAAGGGAUUUGAGCCCUCCGAACUACUCGAUUACGAAUCUCGCCUUGUGGCCUUCACGUAGGAACUACCCUUCCAGGAGGGUAGACCCCUCUCUCCCAUUGCGGAAGAAGGAGAAAGUAGCACAGAGCUACUCGAGUACAGCCUUAGGGCUAACCACACGCCGGAUCAUCAAGUUUGCAUGGCCUCCCUUCGCAAUGCGGAGAACAAUGAGCUGGACCCCCUCAGUACAACAACGAACAACUCGCGGACGUCUCAGCCGACGAGCCCACAGCUGAUGCUCCCCAAGAUGAAGACGAGGAGCACCGAAGGAUCCAGCGGGUAAAGAACGCCAAGCGUGCUCAACGCAGGCGCAACGCGCAGAAUCGCGCCCGCGAACCAAGGGAUCUCAACAACGCUUUUGCAGCAGUCGCGGAUCGCGAGUAUCGUACGCUGAUUGGCACCAUCGCAGAAGCAGCACUCCUAACUCAACAACUCCCAUCCAAUCAGCACUCCUAACUCAACAACUCCCAUCCAAUCCUCAGAUACAAAGGCUGCAGUACUUGACCCAACGCGCGCUCGUGCAACUCGACGGGCAACAUCCAAUAUCUCCCACUCAGAAUCAGCCCUCGAGGUCUGAGCGCCAUGGUGAUACCGCACUGGUCAGUCGCACCCCUGGAGGAGGCCCCGGGAUCCAGAGGAACGACAACUGCCAGUGCAACGAGGGCCACCCGUCUACGCGUGGCAACAAUGAACAAGAAGUACAACAACCCACUCGCAACCAGUGUGGGGUAAGGCAUCACGGCCAAGAUCCACUUGAGGCCAACCUUCACGACGCCCCCACGAUCGACCUCAGGCGGAAGAUCAAUGAAGGCCGCGACACGCGGCUUGUCAUUGAAGCGAGGAGAAGGGACCGUACCGGCAGGCAGCACAACGACAACGACAGCGACCGCUUCCCCGCCUUCACCACCAGCAUCACCGACAAGUCCUAUCCAAAGGACUUCAAACCAGUCGGAAUCCUCAAGUAUGACAGUAAGCAGGAUCCACGCCAGUGGAUUUGAUGCUACUCCGUUGCUAUUAAAGUUUAAGGGGGAUCCAACUCUACAAAGGCUCUCUACUUCCCGGUGGCUUUGGAGUCCGCGCCCCUCACGUGGCUUGGAAGCCUCAAGCCAAACUCCAUCGACUCGUGGGAGAACCUCAAGCGGGCCUUCAUCGACAACUUCCAGGGCUCCAUGAUCAGGGUGGGCACUCGCCAUGACCUGUCCCAGGUGAAGCACAAGAUGAAGGAGACCCUAAGGUCCUACACACAGUAUUUCUUCGAGACACGUGCCACCAUCGCCAACAUCACCAAUGAGGACGUCAUUCGUUGCUUCCAAAACGGCCUCUUCUCGAAGAACACGUACCAUGACUUCUCGAUCCCAUGUUUCUCAACAAAAAAAAUCUCUUUUUGCAUAUUUACUCCAUCUGUUCAAUAUAUAUUCUGAUGGUAAAAUAAAAAUAUCCUUUAUGUUGAAGACUUUGAGGGCAUGCUUGCAUAAUAUACCUGACAUAUAUGAAAGAUGUUAUUCAUCAAAUUGUAUAAUAAAAAUAUAUCAUAAUUAAGAAAUUUUAUACACACCUAUACAUUCAUACUUCCUGCAAGAACAAGUGAUGGUCAUAUUUUCAAUGUUAAACACAACUAUUGCCCCUUGGUCUGAUUGCAUAUGUGUAACCAUAUAUGUGAAGAUUGACCCCUCAACUUUUAACAAUUGACCACUUAAUAAAAAUUGAUCUUUAAAUUCAGCCUCAAAUUCAGAGUACAUUCUCUUUGUAUAUGAUUCAGCUGCCGUUUUCAACAUAGAUAAAUUUGGGCUAGAAGGAAUAGAGAUCUUUCGACGUGAAUGAAAAUUUUGCAUUCAACUCAUUUUCAUGAAGACUGGCAGACACCUUCUCACAUUCUACGAGGAGCUUAGAAAGACUCAGUUUUCUACGAAACCUUUUCUUGAGGAUAUUAUUCAUACCUUCACUCCUUUGAGUAGAGGUCAUAUCAGCUGUAAAUGAGUCACCAUAGAUAAUAGCCUAUUUUCCCCUCAAGUUAUAAAGGUUUGCCAUCCAAUCAUUGUCCACAAGAUUGUACUUCCGCAAUAACUCAUGCCACUUCUCAUUAAAGUAAUACUCUGAUCUAUCCUCAUAGACACAACUCUUGAAAGCAGGUAGAAACUCCUGAUAUUGCUGUUAAGAAGGUUUCAAAGAGCCAAACAAAUGAUGGAAUAGUUUCAUCAAACAUCAAGGCAGCCCCAAAAAUUAUGGUUUGCUUGUGAUGAUUGACACUGAGGAUUGGAGCAAAAGGCAAUUCAAAUUUAUUGGUUUGAAAUGUGGUGUCAAAUGACACAGCAUCACCAAAGCAUGCAUAAUCCAUGAUUGACUGACCAUCUGCCCAAAAAACAUUAGAUAUACGACCUUUAUCAGGUCCAUCUUCUUGAUCUAUUUCAACUGCAUAGAAAAAUGUAGGAUCCUCACGCUGCUUAUUCUUCAAGUAGUUGCAUAGUGUCUGUGCAUCAUUAGAUUCUAAAUACUUUUUGCGCUCACGAACAAUCUCAUUAUUGCAAUCCAUCCUUGAGAAUGGCACUUUGUCGGCUACUCCAUAGAACUCCUUCAUGAACUCAUACACUUGGGCAUGCCUCGUUCCAGCUUCUCGUAUCUGGCCAAUUAGCUUUCUAUCUGCUUCUAUGACACGUCAUUGGGAUCUUAAUUUUUUUCUCUUAUUCGGACUAGCAAGAUAGUGAUUAUGCUCAAGCACAACCCUUUGCACUGUCCAAAUCCCCUCUUUACUGACACCUAACUGAAUACGAGCACUGCAUCGUAACCGUGUCGUGCCCUUUGAUGACUCAGUGUUCCCGUAUCCUUGGCCACUACAAACUAUAUAUUUUUGAUAUGUAGUACGAUCUGAUUGGAGUUUUGUGGUGCUCUUUCUAAUACUGAACCCAAUUUUACCGCCAUAAUUAUUAUACAUCUCAUAUGCGUGAUCCUCGGAUUUAAGGUCAUUCCAACUUCAGGAACGAUUAAAAUAUAGUUGACUCUUUACGAUGUUUGUCAACCUUGGAGGAAUAGUGGUUCAUGGUCAUGGAAAAUACAGGCACAAAUCUCUGGAGGGCUAGGAAUGACCCAUCUUGUAGCACAGGCAGCAACAUACGGAGUAGCUACAGGCUAAGUACUCUGAACAAACCGAAAAACACGGUUCCUUGCACCCCUUUGCUUGCAGCUUCACGAUGCCACUCUGAAUGCUGCCAUUGCAGCCGACGCACAACACCACGACGCUGCCAUCGCAUCCAUGAUUGCCAAUGCACUUACCUAUGACCAGGUGAAGGUUUUUUUUUUUCCGAAAAGGAUGACCAGGUGAAGUACAUGUACAUCACGGACAACCAACAGUUGGCACCAAUUCUACAGGAGGAGAAUUAUGAUUGAUCAGCUUGGAGACUGGAGACUGCGACCCCUUCUGCAUCGAACAACAACAAAGACAUACCUUUCACCUGACGAAAGAUUGGGCGAGAAACCAACUGGAUAGCUCAGAACAUAGCCAAGGAGGCAUGGAAAUACAGUUCACCUCCUUGAGUCUGUCAUCCUGUAACCACGUAGGCCGUCCAAUGCAUUGCCCGAUUCAACAGGCUUUGCAAAACGUUACCAAGGAAUACAUAUUUAAUUUAUCAAAAAAAAUGUGGAACUUGAUGAUAGUUCUAUAUGAUUAUAUUUGAAGGACAUGCACAAAAUAUCUUCAAGCACCCCGUUCAUUGAUAUUUUUUUCAAGCACUGCAUUCAUUGAUAUGAAUUGAAUAAUUUCAAAAGUGCAGACAAAAGAGGCGCGCGAAGUUCCAUAACAUGCUUCGGACGCCAGCAUCAAUGAAUUAAAUAUGGUUCAGAUGACUGAGAAGAUUAGCAUCUCACUGUAAACAGAGACAUGCAGGAACUUCCUGUGAUAUGAAAAUGCAAGGAGUAUAGGAAAUGGGAGCCAAGAAUAUACUAAUGUCCCAGAAUCACAUAAACAUAUUCAAACUGCAGGAAACCUGACCACUUGAGGAUGCUCUAAUACAGAAGUAAAAAAAAAUAUAAAAGAUAUGUGCAAUCCAUGGAUAGGGCUUGUGCAUUUUUCGAGAGGUAGAUCAGCAUGGACUCCACUAGCAUUUGAUACUGAAGAUAAGGAUAGCAUUUCUCUAUAGAAUUUCAUCAAACAAAGGAGACCACAGAAUGUGGCUAGUAAAUUAAAGCACGAGACAGACAUAAUCACUCAAACAAAUUUACAUGUCGUUGGGUAUUGCAGAAAUAUUUACAACUUGCCCAGACACCAAUGUUAGCGUUUGGGGGGUGCUGGGCUGGUUGCAACUGCUUCGGCAGCAGGUUAAGUGGUUCACCCGCUUCAACAGGGAUGAACUCGUACAAUCCACCUGACUUUUGCCUGCAGAUAAUAAUGAAAACAAUUCAGCACCAUGGAAUCAUAUGCUUUCUAUCAACAGGCCGGACAAAAGGAUUCAGGAUCACAAGGUAACACUUCAACUGGGUGGGUUAGAAUAAAAAAACAGAGAUCACAUGAAACUCGAGCGUACGGAGUUCCAUCAUCUUCAGUAGAUAUCAUAACCUUUUAAUGGGUGUGACAGUUGACAUGCAAAGCAAAAGGUUAUGCUACUUCACGAUCAAAUUCAGGAGAAGAAAAACGUGUUUAUGCACGCGCAUUCCUCAGGCAAAACAUCAACUGAUGGAUGAAACAAGAACAAAGAUAAUUAGAAUGAUGACAUUUCUAUGGAGCAGAUAUGAAAUGAUUGGCAUACUCUUCGAGUAACCAGUCACUAUUCACUGCAUAUGUCAAGUGCGGAGUAAGAAUACCUGCAAGUAUCAGUUGAUUUUAGGGCUUAGGUAGUUGUAUUGUGGAUCCCUGAGGAAUUAAUUGAUUUGAGAAAAAACAGCUGUUGGUUGCAAGACUAUGAUCCGAGUCGUUUCAGAUGUUCAGUGGCGGAAUCAUUGUGAGAGUUGCAUAACUAUGCCAGCUUCAGGACAGCGUCGGAGGCGAACUACAUCGGCCGGGUUGGAGUAGGCGACGGACAACGGCGGGGUCACGUCGGAGGCGAACUACCCAUACAAAGGUAGGGAGGGCGAAUGCGUCAACGGCAAGCCGAGAAACUUUGCGGCGCGUCAGAGCUUGCUUAAACCUGUGAAUGGUGUUCUAGGGAACAAUCCGAGUCCCAAGCUUGCGUAAUCUUAUUAUUCAGGUCUUGUCAGAGGACGAAAAUAGUGUGAAAGCACUGUUCAGGCGAGGAAAAGCUAAAUCUGAACUUGGCCAGACAGAAUCAGCCAGGGUGGAUUUCCUGAAAGCAAAGAAGUACUCUCCAAGAGACUCGGAGAUCCUUCGGGACCUUCGGUUGGUCGCGGAACAAGACAAGGAUCUGUACCAAAAGCAGGAGCAGCUAUACAAUGGUCUCUUUGGGCAAAGGCCUGAAGUGAAACCAAAGAAGGCAAACUAACUCGCUAUUUUCUGGCAGAGGCUGUUGUUCUUGAUUCGUUAUCUGGUCCGGAUGUUCAGUAAGAAUGAGUAAGGUAGUUUACCUGAAAAUUGUUCAGAAUAGGUGCUUGAGAUUCCAUGACCAUCAUGACCAACCUUGUACUGUUAGACUGGAAUAUCUGUGGAACUGUCGAUCAUUUGAUCAUGCAUUUGAGCAGUUGGGAUCAAAUAUACUUUUUAUGAACUCUAUACAAUAUUGUGUAUUGACGAACCUUGGAGCCUGUUAGCAAUAAUCUUGACUAGUAGUGCAGUAGGUACAUGUAAGUUACUCAGGGUCCAAGUCUAGUCUUUGCCUUGGGGACCAAGUUGAGUCAAGUCUUUGCCUUGGCAUGUAAGCCACUGUGGCUGUGUAGUAGUGUAUAUAUAGUGCUAUAAAUAGAAAGGAGAGGGCCUAGCUCCCUCGAGAGUUCAAGCAGCACCAAAGGAGAGUGGUCUAGUUCUUCUCUUCACAAGAGGAGUGUGUGUGGCUGCUGGCAGGUUGCCGUAAAGAACUGCCUGGGCUGUAGAGUAGGAGUUGCCGUAGCCGGAUACUUACAGGCUGACCGGAGGCAACUUUAGGUACUUAGGAGGAGCUGAUCAAAUGAUCAGUUUCAAGUAGGUUGCUGCGGCAACUAGUGUGUUUCUACGUGAAACUAGUGUGUUAGCGUGUAUCUUCGGUCGUGUGCUGUCCUAACAGAGCCAACGUUCAUACAUUCUUUCAGCUGAAGUUUCAAAAAACUUUUUUUAUGCCAGUGAAUUUCACAUUUUAGAUUAUUGUAGCAAUAAUACUGUCUCAAUUGAGCUCUAGAUUUCAUUCUCAUGUUGAUGCUGUUGCCAUUGAAACUUCAGUUGCUUGCAGAGGAGCACAAAGUCUCACUUCAUUGCUCUGGAAUUACAACCAUUCUAAGUGCAAGCAAAAGACAUGCCUGAUCCUGAACACACGCUAAAGAUGCUAUCAUGAAAUUUUUUUGAGUUCAGAUGACCAGGAGACUUACAAAAAUUGAUACUGUAAACAGACAUACUGCCAUACUGGGAACUUCCACUGCUCUUGUAUGGACAUAGAACUGCAACCCAUGCAAGGAGUCAGGGACAUCCAUAAAGCACAUACACAAUAUCUUGGAACUACAGGAAGGCCCGACCUUUGGAGGGUGGUCGAAUACAGAAGUAAAUACAAACAAUAUGUGCAAUACAUGGAGAGUACUGCUGCAUUUUUCAAGGUAAUUUACCAUGGACUCCCCAGUAGCAACCGGUGCAGGCAUAGCCGCAGAAAACAAAAACCAACCGAACAAACAAGGAACUCGAAGCAUCAGAAACAUUACUCAAUAUGUGAAACAUGAAAAGUGAACAAAGAAAGCAUGAUUCGACAAUGGAGUUAUUAAGGAAGGAGUGUGCCAACCUUUAAAGGGCUACAGUUGUUGGAAGCGCCCAGCCUUUCAAGUGGCAUCAAAUAUUCAACUUCAUCCAAGUAUGCAACUUCCCAAACACAAUAUUCAACUGAAGUCAUAAAAAAGAGUGCCAACAAGUAACACAUAGAUAAUACAGCUGCAGAAAGGUAAAACCAUGUCAACAAGCAAGGCUAACCAGAACAUUAUGGACAGUAGUGGUUUUGUCAACUGAUUAUGCAACAUGCUGAUAUGCAUCAACAGGGAAUAUAAAAUCAAUACCUUCAAAAACAUCUAAAGAAUAACCAAUGUAGAAGAUAAUGGUGACAGAGUUGGUAAACACUUUAUACUAAACAAACAUUUUUUUUCCCAUUAGAGUCUGUUCCUUAUCUCUUAAUCCAUAUUCCAAAGAAUGAUAGUAUUGGAUUUACUAGAUACAUUGAAUUGCAAGCAGUAAACACUUAUGAUUUAUUUUAUCCUUGGAAGUGCAGGAUUUCUUAACAAAUUAUGCAACGAAAAGCAUCCAAACCUUCUUGAACCAUCAACAUGUAAAUUGAUCCCUGUUGUAAAUAUAAGUGCAACUGAAAACAAGAUAAUUUUUACUUGGUGAUAAACUUGAUACUGAAGAGCACUAUCAUGAUAACAUUUCUCUAAACAAAGGAGACCACAGAAUAUGGCAAGUAACUUAGAGCAUGAGACAGAAAUAUUCACUGCAAUGGAUAGACAUAAUCACUCCAACAAAUUUAUGCGCCACAUAAAAGAUGUCUCAACACAGUUGAGAAUCCAAUUCCUCUGAAAAAAUCCUCAUUUAUUGACAGCCUCAAGAAAAUGAUACUUUUCAGGCAGGGACUUUGCAUGGUGCUGAUAUUCCUCCCUCGAGAAAACUGAUAUUAGCAAGGAAGUAGUGGCUGCCUCAAGUGAGAAGUUCAUCUCAUCAAUUUUGGAGAGGUAAGCCCCAGCCCUCAUUAUCUCACCUCUAUGCAACAGCCUCCUAACAAGAGAAUUUAGCAUACAUGAGUCUGGAGUGCAUCCACUCUUUUCCAUUGCUAAAAACAGAUUGUCAGACUCUUCUAGCAAUCCUUCUUUGAUGAGAUUUUGUAUCAUUAAGCGAUAGGUCACAACACUUGGAACUAAACCAUGGGCAGAGAUAGCAGUGAACAUAUCCAUAGCAUCUUCCUUUCUGCCACUUUUGAGAAAAGCAUCAAUCAUAAUGUUGAAGGUAAUAAUGUGUAGUUGAAAACCCUUAGAACAUAAACUCUGAAAUAUUUUAAAUGCCUCAUCAACACAAUUAUUUUUGCAAAGACCAUCCAGAAUUAUGUUGUACGUGUAAAUGUCCAACUGUACUCCACUAUUGAUCAUAUUGGGAUAGAGUUCUUUUGCUUCAGAAAUUUUCCCAGACCGAAAUAAACCCUGAAGUACCAUGCUAUAAGUGACAAUUCCAGGCCUAACUUCAUUGCUUAACAUUUCUCUGAAUAGUCUAACUGCAUCAUCUAUCCUGCCAGCUCUACAAUAGCCAUGAAGCAAAGUAUUAUAAGAAAAGGCAUCUGGUUUCAAGCCAACUCGGACCAUAUCAUCAAGUAACUUCAUAGCUUCCUUCAUCCUACCAGCUAAGCAGUGGCCAUCCAUUAACGUAGUAUAUGAGAUAACAUCAGGUCUCACACCUACACACACCAUCAAGUCAAGGAGACUCUGGGCUUCCGUGACUCGUCCUUCUCUGCAAAGGUUACACAUUAUUGUGUUGAAGAACAAGGCAUUGGGAUGGAUCCCUUGAUUCAGCAUUUCAGAAAAUAAUUCAUUAGCCUUCUCCCAUUUGCCGACAGUGCACAGUCCAUAAACUAGUGAGUUAAAAAUAAUGAUAUUAGGAGUCACUCCUUCAUAGAUCAUCUGAUUAAAUUUGAGCAUAGCCUCGUCCACUCUUCCCGACUUGCAAAGUGCAUCUAUUAAUGCUCCAUUGUUUACUCCAUCAGGACUCAACCCUUGCUGCCUCAUUUGGUCAAAGAUACGCAUUGCCUCAUUUAUCAUACCACCUUUACCAUACGCCCAGAGAACUAUGCUAAAGGUACGAUGGUCAGGUGAAACACCAUUUUCUACCAUCAAAUCCAGGAGGCCAUGCAUGUCAGAAAGAGCUCCUUUGGUAGCAUAACCAUGAAGCAGAACACCAUAUGUAGUUACAUUAGGUUUUGUGCCCUUUUCAAUCAUAGAAUCAAAAAUCUUUCUAGCCUCUGUGCAUCUUCCACUCUUGCAAAGGUAAUCCAGCAGCAAAUUACAAGUGACAAUAUCUGGCUGAUAACCAUGUGCGGACAUUUCUUUGAGCAUUCGAACCACCUCUUUCCCCAGUCCUGAAGAGCAAUGUCCAUGGAUCAGACAAUUAUAUGUCUGAUUGUCUGGCUUAACGCCUUUAUGAACCAUCUGCCGAAGGACACCCUCGGCCCUGUCAACAGCUUGAGCUUUGCACAGGCCAUUGAUGACUGUGUUGUAGGUCACAACAGUUGGCAAAAUCCCCUGGUUAUCGAUUUCACGAAAUAGGUUGUAAGCUUUGUCCACCUGACCCUCUCUAAAUAAGCCAUUGAUGACGAUGCUGUACGCCACGACAUUUGGUGGGCAGCCAAACUCGGGCAUUCGUCGGAGUAAUAUGUCCAUGGCCUCAUCCACCCUCUUUGUGUCACAGAGACCUUUGAGAAGCGGAUUGAUGACUGUUUGCACCCUCCAGCCCGCCUUGAGGACGAGGCCAAAGGAGGCGAAACCAAGCUCCAGGCGUCCCAUGCGGCAGAAGCAACCGAUGAGGAUGUUGUAGGUGGACCCAUUGGGAGCCACCUUGUUCGGGGAGGCACGGACCAUCCGGUUGAAGAGGGACACGACGAGCGCGGAGGUCGAGGAGCCCCUUCCCUGGGCGCGAAAGAUGGAGGUAAGGAGGUGGUUGAAGGCGCGAACCGAGGCCGGCCUGGCGUGGGGGAGCAAUUCGUCGAACAUCUUGACGGCGUCAUCGAGACCGAGGCUUUUUCCCGAGCUAACGCGGCCAACGAUGGCGCGCUCCAGCUCCAAGCAGCGGUCGCGCACGCCGCAGGACAUGCCGGCGGGGCACGGCACGGCUAGCGGCCCGGCGAGGAGACGGAUGGGCGGCCCUGCAUCCGCCUCCGGGUCGGGCGUGGCGGCUCGAUCGGUGGGGGCGGAACAGCGCGUUCUACGGCGUGGAGUGGGCGAGCGAUGGAUCUGGAAUGCUACCGGCGGUGGUCUCGGCGUGGGAGUGGGCGUUCUAUGCAUUGGCUGGUUGGGGCGGCGUGGCGCCGGGCGUCAGGUGUUAGUCCUGAGCUCCUAGAUUAGAAGGUAGCAGGUGGGUAGCGCCAAUAGUGGUUGGACACAGAUUGCGGCAUGACCCAGGUGGUUGGGAUGGCAUCUAUCGAUCACGAGUACGUCGGGAUUGGCUUGGUCUUCUAUCCUUUAUAUAGAAAUAGCAAUCAACUGAAAGCGUUGCCGUUUUGCAGCACCAAAAUUCAUCGAGUCCACUUCGUGUUCGCGUGUGAUGUCUUCCUCCGUUUGGAGUUCUGUCAUCAGGUGCCGCCGGGCGGUGGCCGUCCGACGUGACGUGACCAACAGAGGCGGCGAGGAGCAGCAGCAGCACAAGCAGCCAGCCAAGAACGGAAACAUAGUGGGUGGGUAGGAUUGUUUCAAGAUUUGUGUUUAUUUCUUCUUUGCUGAUUUCUUUCGAAGCCCAAGGCCCAGACAUCCAGGCGACCAGGCCAAGCCUGACGCUUAAUUCUUCCGACAGAUAAUCACCUACGCACAUGUGACGCUUCGACUCGUACCGGUCAACAUAUACGCUGUCAACAACGUAUAUUUCAUAUUGGAUUCAAUAAAACAAAUUAGAUAUUAUAAAUAUUAUUAUUUUUUAUAUAAAUUUGGUUAACCAAAUUUAACUUAGGACAAAUCUAAUACAACAUGUAAAUAAAAAUAGGGGAGUAAUUUUAUACGUUCUUCAGAUAAAUUAGUCUUAAAACAAGCUAUGCAUUGCUUUAGAAUGGCAGUCUAAUUAUUUUGUAGCCACCGUAUUCCACCCCGAGAAAGAGCAGACCAACACAUGCCUGAAACCUGUUAUACCAGGUCCACUUCCAACAACAAACGCUGCAGCCUGCAGGUGUAGUCCUUCCUUUGUAUGCAGGUUUACGGGUAUAUUUCUCCAUCAACUCUCUUUUGUCAGAGCCACAUUGUCCAUAACAAUGAUGUGAUUUUCCAGAUGGCUGUGACCAUGGCCACAGGUGGCGUUGGCGGUUUACAGCGUGAUGGGUUCCGUGGAUUCGGUGUAGCCUGGCCCGUGGGAUACAACAUGUGUGUGAUUGGUUAGCUGGAUGAGCCUUUGAGCCUGGCCCAUGCUGUCCAAAAGGUCUCUCUAGACCUGGCUCCACCCACGCAGAAAAAUUAAGAUAGUGAUUGGUUGGUUGCAUAUUCUCCAACUGAACUUCUAUAGAGCAGUCCAACAUGUUUGGAUGGUUGGGUAGGCCUCGUAGCCACAGGCUUGCGGAGUGCAAAAGGGGCAGUCCAGCCUGCAUUGCGGGAUACAGAUUUCGAUUUUGUUUCCGGCUUGUGCAGGUUGUAUUAGCUCCGCGCUCAAUUUUGCAGACCCGCCUUGUGCGGCCCGCGGCUCGUACUGUGCAGGGAACGAAACCCUCCGUCUCGCUAGGGUUACCAUUGUGCAGCCCGCGGCCCGUACUGUGCAGGGAACGAAACCCUCCGUCUCGCUAGGGUUACCACUGCACAGUACUCAUUCGCGUCGUCCGGCCUCGGCCUCCCUCUUCGCUCGCUCUCGCCCUCCCACUUCGCUCUCGCAAACGCACGCCGUCGCCAAGCUAGGGUUUCGCCGCCGCCUCUUCCUCGGCUCUACAAGCUCAAAGUGGAGCCCAUCGGCUACCACCUCCCGUCCUUUGGUAGGGCUUCGAGGAUCCGUUCUCCAUUCCUCAUUGUCUAGCUUGUCACUCAUGUUCUCUCCCCCCUCCAUUUUCUAUGCUCUAAUGUUGUAGUUGUUAUAUUGUUUGGCCAGAUGUAUGUUGUAUUGUUGAUAAUUGUUUUCGGUUAGAUCUGGUAGGCCAUAUUGUAGAUCUGGUACCUGUCAGACCCGGAAGAUUGCUCGUACAAUAGUGAAACUAGUCGGACACGGUAGGAAACUAUCCGAGAAGUACUCGGGUAGGACUCUUGGGCUUGUACCCGACUAGGACUUCCAUGUAAAAUCUGUCCUCCCAAACUAUACAAGGGCGGAUAGGGACCCUCUUCGGAACAAUCAUCAUCAAAGGCAAUACAAACCACACAGGACGUAGGAUAUUGCGCUCUCAGCGGCCCGAACCUGUCUAAAACCUUGCGUUCCUUUGCACCUUCGAGUUCCUAAUCGCGGCGACACCCUACAUACAAACUCACCAUCUCAGGGGUGUUUAUCGAGCAUCCACCGGAGAAUUCGAUGGCAUCCUUCAACUUCACCAGCACUGUGCUCGACGAAGGCACAACCUUCAUCUUCAGCUCCUAGAUCUGCGUCGCUAAUGGUUCGGGUGGCUUCAACAACCACCUAGCCAACUCCAAAGAGCCGGAAGCUUCUUCAUCAACUCCAAGCAGCGAUCUCAAUGACUUCAUUGACAACCUCGACGAUAUGUUGCGUCCCAAUCUGGCCCAGCAGAUCGAAAAGAUGUCCAUUUUCAACGCGACUUCCACUCAUGACGCACCAGAUCUAUUCGGGUUGGAUUCAAACCGAUCUGAAAAGACCUCACGAUCUAAAUCCCUCGCCGACUUGGAGGAGGAUUUGGAUCUGCUGCUUAAGAUCAAGGACGUGGGCGCCACUGUUUGCCGGGCGGCCCCCAUUUUCGACACCCACUCGGACGCCAACGAAGAUUACUCCCCGUGCAGCACUACACCUUCAAGCCGUGCCCGAAAAGGACUCGGAGACGAGGGAGUCAAAGCUUGUCGGGCGGCCCCUGCCCUUGAAAACCACUCGCAACCUGACGGCCACACCAAAAUGUUUUCGAGCAGCCUUCUGGGUUUAACCAUCACAUCAACGCCGCAAGGAUGUUUCAUGUACUGGAAGGGCUUUGAGCCCUCCGAACUACACGAUUACGAAUCUCGCCUUGUGGCCUUCACGUAGGAACUACCCUUCCAGGAGGGUAGACCCCUCUCUCCCAUUGUGGAAGAAGGAGAAAGUAGCACAGAGCUACUCGAGUACAGCCUUAGGGCUAACCACACGCCGGAUCAUCAAGUUUGCAUGGCCUCCCUUCGCAAUGCGGAGGACGACGAGCUGGACCCCCUCAGUACAACAACGAACAACUCGCGGACGUCUCAGCCGACGAGCCCACAACUGAUGCUCCCCAAGAUAAAGACGAGGAGCACCGAAGGAUCCAGCGGGUAAAGAACACCAAGCGUGCUCAACGUAGGCGCAACACGCAGAAUCGCGCCCGCGAACCAAGGGAUCUCAACAACGCUUUUGCAGCAGUCGCGGAUCGCGAGUAUCGUACACUGAUUGGCAUCAUCGCAAAAGCAGCACUCCUAACUCAACAACUCCCAUCCAAUCCUCAGAUACAAAGGCUGCAGUACUUGACCCAACGCGCGCUCGUGCAACUCGACGGGCAACAUCCAAUAUCUCCCACUCAGAAUCAGCCCUCAAGGUCUGAGCGCCAUGGUGAUACCGCACUGGUCAGUCGCACCCCUAGAGGAGGCCCCGGGAUCCAGAGGGACGACAACUGCCAGCGCAACGAGGGCCACCCAUCUACACAUGGCAACAAUGAACAAGAAGUACAACAACCCACUCGCAACCAGUGUGGGGUAAGGCAUCACGGCCAAGAUCCACUUGAGGCCAACCUUCACGACGCCCCCACGAUCGACCUUAGGCGGAAGAUCAAUGAAGGCCGCGACACGCGGCUUGUCAUUGAAGCGAGGAGAAGGGACCGUACCGGCAGGCAGCACAACGACAACGACAGCGACCACUUCCCCGCCUUCACCACCAGCAUCACCGACAAGUCCUAUCCAAAGGACUUCAAACCAGUCGGAAUCCUCAAGUACGACGGUAAGCAGGAUCCACGCCAGUGGAUUUGAUGCUACUCCGUUGCUAUUAAAGUUUCAGGGGGAUCCAACUCUAAAAAGGCUCUCUACUUCCCGGUGGCUUUGGAGUCCGCGCCCCUCACAUGGCCUGGAAGCCUCAAGCCAAACUCCAUCGACUCGUGGGAGAACCUCAAGCGGGCCUUCAUCGACAACUUACAGGGCUCCAUGAUCAGGGCGGGCACUCGCCAUGACCUGUCCCAGGUGAAGCACGAGAUGAACGAGACCCUAAGGUCCUACACACAGCGUUUCUUCGAGACACGUGCCACCAUCGUCAACAUCACCAAUGAGGACGUCAUUCGUUGCUUCCAAAACGGCCUCUUCUCAAAGAACACGUACCACGACUUCUCGAUCCCAUGUUUCUCAACAAAAAAAAUCUCUUUUUGCAUAUUUACUCCAUCUAUUCAAUAUAUAUUCUGAUGGUAAAAUAAAAACAUCCUUUAUGUUGAAGACUUUGAGGGCAUGCUUGCAUAAUAUACCUGAUAUAUAUUAAAGAUGUUAUUCAUCAAAUUGUAUAAUAAAAAUAUAUCAUAAUUAAGAAAUUUUAUACACACCUAUACAUUCAUACUUCCUGCAAGAACAAGUGAUGGUCAUAUUUUCAAUGUUGAACAUAACUGUUGCCCCUUGGUCUGAUUGCAUAUGUGUAACCAUAUAUGUGAAGAUUGACCCCUCAACUUUUAACAAUUGACCACUUAAUAAAAAUUGAUCUUUAAAUUCAGCCUCAAAUUCAGAGUACAUUCUCUUUGUAUAUGAUUCAGCUGUCGUCUUCAACAUAGGUAAAUUUGGGCUACAAGGAACAGAGAUCUUUCGACGUGAAUGAAAAUUUUGCAUUCAACUCAUUUUCAUGAAGACUGGCAGACACCUUCUCACAUUCUACAAGGAGCUCAGAAAGACCCAGUUUUCUACGAAACCUUUUCUUGAGGAUAUUAUUCAUACCUUCACUCCUUUGAGUAGAGGUCAUAUCAGCUGUAAAUGAGUCACGAUAGAUAAUAGCCCAUUUUCCCCUCAAGUUAUAAAGGUUUGCCAUUCAAUCAUUGUCCACAAGAUUGUACUUCCGCAAUAACUCAUGCCACUUCUUAUUAAAGUAAUACUCUGAUCUAUCCUCAUAGACACAACUCUUGAAAACAGGCAGAAACUCCUUAUACUUAUUAAUUAUAUAUCCAAGAUGUUUAGCAGCGUUAAGAUAGAUAUGCUAUAUACAAAGACGAUGGCUUGUGUUUGGAAAUACAUAAGCAAUAGCACCUGCUAUGGCUGCAUCUUGAUCAGUGAAAAUUGUGCUCGGGUGCUUUCCUGAUAUUGCUGUUAAGAAGGUUUCAAAGAGCCAAACAAAUGAUGGAAUAGUUUCAUCAAACAUCAAGGCAGCCCCAAAAAUUGUGGUUUGCUUGUGAUGAUUGACACUGAGGAUUGGAGCAAAAGGCAAUUCAAAUUUAUUAGUUUAAAAUGUCGUGUCAAAUGACACAGCAUCACCAAAGCAUGCAUAAUCCAUAAUUGACUGACCAUCUGCCCAAAAAACAUUAGAUAUACGACCUUUAUCAGGUCCAUCUUCUUGAUCUAUUUCAACUGCAUAGAAAAAUGUAGGAUCCUCACGCUGCUUAUUCUUCAAGUAGUUGCAUAUUGUCUGUGCAUCAUUAGAUUCUAAAUACUUUUUGCACUCACGACCAAUCUCAUUAUUGCAAUCCAUCCUUGAGAAUGGCACUUUGUCGGCUCCUCCAUAGAACUCCUUCAUGAACUCAUACACUUGGGCAGGCCUCGUUCCAGCUUCUCGUAUCUGGCCAAUUAGCUUUCUAUCUGCUUCUGUGACACGCCAUUGGGAUCUUAAUUUUUUUCUCUUAUUCGGACUAGCAAGAUAGUGAUUAUGCUCAAGCACAACCCUUUGCACUGUCCAAAUCCCCUCUUUACUGACACCUAACUGCACUGCAUCGUAACCGUGUCGUGCCCUUUGAUGACUCAGUGUUCCCGUAUCCUUGGCCACUACAAACUAUAUAUUUUUGAUAUAUAGUAUGAUCUGAUCGGAGUUUCGUGGUGCUCUUUCUAAUACUGAACCCAAUUUUACCGGCAUAAUUAUUAUACAUCUCAUAUGCGUGAUCCUCGGAUUUAAAGUCAUUCCAACUUCAAGAACGAUUAAAGUUUGCCCAAUUUUAUUAGUCACCUGUUGUAUAACAUAAUUUUGCAUCAUACAUUAUCUACUACUUGACAAGAAAAAUAGAAGAUCAAACAAACUACGUGACCUUACCUGAGUUGCUUGAGCCUCUACGUGAGUUGACUGAAUGUCUUCAUCUACACGUUCCAUGGUAUGGGAGUGCGUGUUGAAGUCAACAUCCUCAUGCCCAGCCACAUCAUGAUCUCCGGCUAGGAUGUCAUCCUCACCGAGACAUGAGUCAACUUGCAUGGCAGCUGCUAGGGUUAAGAAGAAUUAAUGAUGAUGAUUAAGAAGGAUUAUGUGUUUUACCAAGGGAUGUAGACGAGCAGCCUCACCACGAUGAUGAAGCCACACUACGAUCAGGAGGACUCACGGUCUCGCGCGCGGAUCGCAUGAGCAGCGGCGGCCUCUUCCGGCGGCGGCCAUGCGACUUUGUUGCGGCAACGCGUUCCGCUUGGUUUUCUUCGUAUGUACAGAGCCGGAGCCGAAUAGAAUAUUGAAAUACGGAGCCACGGAACCGAAUAGAAUAUGGGGAAUAUUGAGCUAGGAGCCGGAAUGCAAGCCACGAUGGACGAAGUACGCAGAGGCGCUAAGCUGUUUCUAUGUGCCCUAGGAUAUCCAGGUGACUUCCAUCCACGAUGGUUCGCACAGGAGCAUUUUGAGGACAGUUCGCACGGAAUUUCUAUCUCGAGGAGGAGGGCAAGACCGACUGCUGUGCCUCUGCCUUGGGCUGUUUUUUUUCCUAAAGAAAAUCCAUAUAAAGUGGCCGCUUUCCUUGCCUGCUCAACUUCCAGAGAGUCUUUUACCUUUGUGUUAUUAUAAAAGAUCCAAGUUACCUACAUAUCAUCGAAAUUUUAGAAAGUUCCUCAGCACCCUUGUUUGAAGUUUCUUUUACCAAUUUUACAUGUAACAGCAAUUAACGUGCAAGGCUAACCAUGUCAACAAGGUAAUACAGCUGCGGAAAGGUAAAACCAUGUCAACAAGCAAGGCUAACCAGAACAUUAUGGACAGUAGUGGUUUUGUGAACUGAUUAUGCAACAUGCUGAUAUGCAUCAACAGGGAAUAUAAAAUCAAUACCUUCAAAAACAUCUUAAGAAUAACCAAUGUAGAAGAUAAUGGUGACAGAGUUGGUAAACACUUUAUACUAAACAAACAUUUUUUUUCCCAUUAGAGUCUGUUCCUUAUCUCUUAAUCCAUAUUCCAAAGAAUGAUAGUAUUGGAUUUACUAGAUACAUUGAAUUGCAAGCAGUAAACACUUAUGAUUUAUUUUAUCCUUGGAAGUGCAGGAUUUCUUAACAAAUUAUGCAACGAAAAGCAUCCAAACCUUCUUGAACCAUCAACAUGUAAAUUGAUCCCUGUUGUAAAUAUAAGUGCAACUGAAAACAAGAUAAUUUUUUACUUGGUGAUAAACUUGAUACUGAAGAGCACUAUCAUGAUAACAUUUCUCUAAACAAAGGAGACCACAGAAUAUGGCAAGUAACUUAGAGCAUGAGACAGAAAUAUUCACUGCAAUGGAUAGACAUAAUCACUCCAACAAAUUUAUUCGCCACAUAAAAGAUGUCUCAACACAGUUGAGAAUCCAAUUCCUCUGAAAAAAUCCUCAUUUAUUGACAGCCUCAAGAAAAUGAUACUUUUCAGGCAGGGACUUUGCAUGGUGCUGAUAUUCCUCGCUCGAGAAAACUGAUAUUAGCAAGGAAGUAGUGGCUGCCUCAAGUGAGAAGUUCAUCUCAUCAAUUUUGGAGAGGUAAGCCCCAGCCCUCAUUAUCUCACCUCUAUGCAACAGACCCCUAACUAGAGCAUUUAGCAUACGAGAGUUUGGAGUGCAUCCACUCUUUUCCAUUGCUAAAAACAGAUUGUCAGACUCUUCUAGCAACCCUUCUUUUAUGAGAUUUUCUAUCAUUAAGCGAUAGGUCACAACACUUGGAACUAAACCAUGGGCAGAGAUAGCAGUGAACAUAUCCAUAGCAUCUUCCUUUCUGCUACUUUUGAGUAAAGCAUCAAUCAUAAUGUUGAAGGUAAUAAUGUUUAGUUGAAAACCCUUAGAACAUAAACUCUGAAAUAUUUUAAAUGCCUCAUCAACACAAUUAUUUUUGCAAAGACCAUCCAGAAUUAUGUUGUACGUGUAAAUGUCCAACUGCAGUCCACUAUUGAUCAUAUUGGGAUAGAGUUCUUUUGCUUCCGAAAAUUUCCCAGACCGAAAUAAACCCUGAAGUACCAUGUUGUAAGUGACAAUUCCAGGCCUAACUUCAUUGCUUAACAUUUCUCUGAAUAGUCUAACUGCAUCAUCUAUCCUGCCAGCUCUACAAUAGCCAUGAAGCAAAGUAUUAUAAGAAAAGGCAUCUGGUUUCAAGCCAACUCGGACCAUAUCAUCAAGUAACUUCAUAGCUUCCUUCAUCCUACCAGCUAAGCAGUGGCCAUUCAUUAAUGUAUUAUAUGAGAUAACAUCAGGUCUCACACCUACACACACCAUCAAGUCAAGGAGACUCUGGGCUUCCGUGACUCGUCCUUCUCUGCAAAGGUUACACAUUAUUGUGUUGAAGAACGAGGCAUUGGGAUGGAUCCCUUGAUUCAGCAUUUCAGAAAAUAAUUCAUUAGCCUUCUCCCAUUUGCCGACAGUGCACAGUCCAUAAACUAGUGAGUUAAAAAUAAUGAUAUUAGGAGUCACCCCUUCAUAGAUCAUCUGAUUAAAUUUGAGCAUAGCCUCGUCCACUCUUCCCGACUUGCAAAGUGCAUCUAUUAAUGCUCCAUAGUUUACUCCAUCAGGACUCAACCCUUGCUGCCUCAUUCGGUCAAAGAUAUGCAUUGCCUCAUUUAUCAUACCACCUUUACCAUACGCAAAGAGAACUAUGUUAAAGGUACGAUGGUCAGGUGAAACACCAUUUUCUACCAUCAAAUCCAAGAGGCCAUGCAUGUCAGAAAGAGCUCCUUUGGUAGCAUAACCAUGAAGCAGAACACCAUAUGUAGUUACAUUAGGUUUUGUGCCCUUUUCAAUCAUAGAAUCAAAAAUCUUUCUAGCCUCUGUGCAUCUUCCACUCUUGCAAAGGUAAUCCAGCAGCAAAUUACAAGUGACAAUAUCUGGCUGAUAACCAUGUGCGGACAUUUCUUUGAGCAUUCGAACCACCUCUUUCCCCCGUCCUGAAGAGCAAUGUCCAUGGAUCAGACAAUUAUAUGUCUGAUUGUCUGGCUUAACGCCUUUAUGAACCAUCUGCCGAAGGACACCCUCGGCCCUGUCAACAGCUUGAGCUUUGCACAGGCCAUUGAUGACUGUGUUGUAGGUCACAACAGUUGGCAAAAUCCCCUGGUUAUCGAUUUCACGAAAUAGGUUGUAAGCUUUGUCCACCUGACCCUCUCUAAAUAAGCCAUCGAUGACGAUGGUGUACGCCACGACAUUUGGUGGGCAGCCAAACUCAGGCAUUCGUCGGAGCAAUAUGUCCAUAGCCUCAGACACGCACUUUCUGUCACAGAGACCUUUGAGCAGCUGACUGAUGACUAUGCCAUUCACCCUCCAGCCUGUCUUAAGGGUGAGGCCAAAGGCGGCGAAACCAAGCUCCAGGCGUCCCAUUCGGCAGAAGCAACCGAUGAGGAUGUUGUAGGUGGACCCAUUGGGAGCCACCUUGUUCGGGGAGGCACGGACCAUCCGGUUGAAGAGGGACACGACGAGCGCGGAGGUCGAGGAGCCCCUACGCUGGGCGCGAGAGACGGCGGCGAGGAGCUGAUUGAUGGCGAUCACCGAGGCCGGCCUAGCGUGGUCUAGCAAUUCACCGAACAGCUUGACGGCGUCGUCGAGGCCAAGGUUUCCCGAGCUGACGCGGCCAACGAUGGCGCGCUCCAGCUCCAAGCAGCGGUCGCGCACGCGGCAGGACAUGCCGGCGGGGCACGGCACGGCUAGCGGCCCGGCGAGGAGACGGAUGGGCGGCCCUGCAUCCGCCUCCGGGUCGGGCGUGGCGGCUCGAUCGGCGGGGGCGGAGCAGCGCGUGCUGCGGCGUGGAGUGGGCGUUCUAUGCGUUGGCUGGUUGGGGCGGCGUGGCGCCGGGCGUCAGGUGUUGGAACAAGUCCUGAGCUCCUAAUCUUAGAAGGUAGCAGGUGGCUAGCGCCGUUAGUAGCUGGACACAGAUUGCGGCAUGGCCCAGGUGGUUGGGAUGGCAACUAUCGAUCACGAGUAUGCCGGGAUUGGCUUGGUCUUCUAUAACCAUGUAAAGAUGCAUGUAUUUCCUUUAUAUAGAAAUAGCAAUCAACUGAAAAUGUUGCCGUUUUGCAGCACCAAAAUUCAUCGAGUCCACUUCAUGUUUGCGUGUGAUGUCUUCCUCCGUUUGGAGUUCUGUCAUCAGGUGCCGCCGGGCGGUGGCCGUCCGACGUGACGUGACGAACAGAGGUGGCGAGGAGCAGCAGCAACACACAAGCAGCCAGCCAAGAACGGAAACAUAGUGGGUGGGUAGGAUUGUUUCAAGAUUUGUGUUUAUUUCUUCUUUGCUGAUUUCUUUCCAAGCCCAAGGCCCAGACAUCCAGGCGACCAGGCCAAACCUGACGCUUAAUUCUUCCGACAGAUAAUCACCUACGCACAUGUGACGCUUCGACUCGUACCGGUCAACAUAUACACUGUCAACGUAUAUUUCAUAUUAGAUUCAAUAAAACAAAUUAGAUAUUAUAAAUAUUAUUAUUUUUUAUAUAAAUUUGGUUAACCAAAUUUAAUCUAAUACAACAUGUAAAUAAAAAUAGGGGAGUAAUUUUAUACGUUCUUCAGAUAAAUUAGUCUUAAAACAAGCUAUGCAUUGCUUUAGAAUGGCAGUCUAAUUCUUUUGUAGCCACCGUAUUCUACCCGGAGAAAGAGCAGACAACACAUGCCCGAAACCUGUUAUAUCCUUCCUUUGUAUGCAGGUUUACGGGUAUAUUUCUCCAUCAACUCUCUUUUGUCAGAGCCACAUUGUCCAUAACAAUGAUGUGAUUUUCCAGAUGGCUGUGACCAUGGCCACAGGUGGCGUCGGCGGUUUGCAGCGUGAUGGGUUCCGUGGAUUCGGUGUAGCCUGGCCCGUGGGAUACAACAUGUGUGUGAUUGGUUAGCUGGAUGAGCCUUUGAGCCUGGCCCAUGCUGUCCAAAAGGUCUCUCUAGACCUGGCUCCACCCACGCAGAAAAAUUAAGAUAGUGAUUGGUUGGUUGCAUAUCCUCCAACUGAACUUCUAUAGUGCAAUCCAACAUGUUUGGAUGGUUGGGUAGGCCUCGUAGCCACAGGCUUGCGGAGUGCAAAAGGGGCAGUCCAGCCUGCAUUGCGGGAAACAGAUUUCGAUUUCGUUUCCGGCUUGUGCAGGUUGUAUUAGCUCCGCGCACUCAAUUUUGCAGACCCGCCUUGUGCGGCCCACGGCUCGUACUGUGCAAGGAACGAAACCCUCCGUCUCGCUAGGGUUACCAUUGUGCAGCCCGCGGCCCGUACUGUGCAGGGAACGAAACCCUCCGUCUCGCUAGGGUUACCACUGCACAGUACUCAUUCGCGCCGUCCGGCCUCGGCCUCCCUCUUUGCUCGCUCUCGCCCUCCCACUUCGCUCUCGCAAACGCACGCCAUCGCCAAGCUAGGGUUUCGCCGCCGCCUCUUCCUCGGCUCUACAAGCUCAAAGUGGAGCCCAUCGGCUACCACCUCCCGUCCUUUGGUAGGGCUUCCAGGAUCCGUUCUCCAUUCCUCAUUGUCUAGCUUGUCACUCAUGUUCUCUCCCCCCUCCAUUUUCUAUGCUCUAAUGCUGUAGUUGUUAUAUUGUUUGGCCAGAUGUAUGUUGUAUUGUUGAUAAUUGUUUUCGGUUAGAUCUGGUAGGCCAUAUUGUAGAUCUGGUACUUGUCAGACCCGGGGGAUUGCUCGUAUAAUAGUGAAACUAGUCGGACACGGUAGGAAACUACCCGAGAAGUACUCGGGUAGGACUCUUGGGCUUGUACCCGACUAGGACUUCCAUGUAAAAUCUGUCCUCCCAGACUAUAUAAGGGCGGAUAGGGACCCUCUUCGGGACAAUCAUCAUCAAAGGCAAUACAAACCACACAGGACGUAGGAUAUUGCGCUCUCAGCGGCCCGAACCUGUCUAAAACCUUGCGUUCCUUUGCACCUUCGAGUUCCUAAUCGCGGCAACACCCUACCUACAAACUCACCACCUCGGGGGUGUUUAUCGAGCAUCCAUCGGACAAUUCGAUGGCAUCCUUCAACUUCACCAGCACUAUGCUUGAUGAAGGCGCAACCUUCAUCUUCAGCUCCUAGAUCUGCGUCGCCAAUGGUUCGGGUGGCUUCAACAACCACCUUGCCAACUCCAAAGAGCCGGAAGCUUCUUCAUCAACUCCAAGCAGCGAUCUCAAUGACUUCAUUGACAACCUCGACGAUAUGCUGCGUCCCGAUCUGGCCCAGCAGAUCGAAAAGAUGUCCAUUUUCAACGCGACUUCCACUCGUGACGCACCAGAUCUAUUCGGGUCGGAUUCAAACCGAUCUGAAAAGACCUCACGAUCUAAAUCCCUCGCCGACUUGGAGGAGGAUUUGGAUCUGCUGCUUAAGAUCAAGGACGUGGGCGCCACCGUUUGCCCGGCGGCCCCCAUUUUCGACACCCACUUGGACGCCAACGAAGAUUACUCCCCGUGCAGCACUACACCUUCAAGCCGUGCCCGAAAAGGACUCGGAGACGAGGGAGUCAAAGCUUGUCGGGCGGCCCCUGCCCUUGAAAACCACUUGCAACCCGACGGCCACAUCGAAACAUUUUCGAGCAGCCUUCUGGGUUUAACCAUCACAUCAACGCCGCAAGGAUGUUUCAUGUACUGGAAGGGCUUUGAGCCCUCCGAACUACUCGAUUACAAAUCUCACCUUGUGGCCUUCACGUAGGAACUACCCUUCCAGGAGGGCAGACCCCUCUCUCCUAUUGCGGAAGAAGGAGAAAGUAGCACAGAGCUACUCGAGUACAGCCUUAGGGCUAACCACACGCCGGAUCAUCAAGUUUGCAUGGCCUCCCUUCGCAAUGCGGAGGACGACGAGCUGGACCCCCUCAGUACAACAACGAACAACUUACGGACGUCUAAGCCGACGAGCCCACAGCUGAUGCUCCCCAAGAUGAAGACGAGGAGCACCGAAGGAUCCAGCGGGUAAAGAACGCCAAGCGUGCUCAACGCAGGCGCAACGUGCAGAAUCGCGCCCGCGAACCAAGGGAUCUCAACAACGCUUUUGCAGCAGUCGCGGAUCGCGAGUAUCGUACGCUGAUUGGCACCAUCGCAGAAGCAGCACUCCUAACUCAACAACUCCCAUCCAAUCAGCACUCCUAACUCAACAACUCCCAUCCAACCCUCAGAUACAAAGGCUGCAGUACUUGACCCAACGCGCGCUCGUGCAACUCGACGGGUAACAUCCAAUAUCUCCCACUCAGAAUCAGCCCUCGAGGUCUGAGCGCCAUGGUGAUACCGCACUGGUCAGUCGCACCCCUGAAGGAGGCCCCGGGAUCCAGAGGAACGACAACUGCCAGCGCAACGAGGGCCACCCGUCUACGCGUGGUAACAAUGAACAAGAAGUACAACAACCCACUCACAACCAGUGUGGGGUAAGGCAUCACAGCCAAGAUCCACUUGAGGCCAACCUUCACGACGCCCCCACGAUUGACCUCAGGCGGAAGUUCAAUGAAGGCCGCGACACGCGGCUUGUCAUUGAAGCGAGGAGAAGGGACCGUACCGGCAGGCGGCACAAUGACAAUGACAACGACCGCUUCCCCGCCUUCACCACCAGCAUCACCGACAAGUCCUAUCCAAAGGACUUCAAACCAGUCGGAAUCCUCAAGUACGACGGUAAGCAGGAUCCAAGCCAGUGGAUUUGAUGCUACUCCGUUGCUAUUAAAGUUUCAGGGGGAUCCAACUCUACAAAGGCUCUCUACUUCCCGGUGGCUCUAGAGUCCGCGCCCCUCACGUGGCUUGGAAGCCUCAAGCCAAACUCCAUCGACUCGUGGGAGAACCUCAAGUGGGCCUUCAUCGACAACUUCCAAGGCUCCAUGAUCAGGGCGGGCACUCGCCAUGACUUGUCCCAGGUGAAGCACGAGAUGAACGAGACCCUAAGGUCCUACACACAGCGUUUCUUUGAGACACGUGCCACCAUCGCCAACAUCACCAAUGAGGACGUCAUUCGUUGCUUCCAAAACGGCCUCUUCUCGAAGAACACGUACCACGACUUCUCGAUCCCAUGUUUCUCAACAAAAAAAUCUCUUUUUGCAUAUUUAGUCCAUCUAUUCAAUAUAUAUUCUGAUGGUAAAAUAAAAACAUCCUUUAUGUUGAAGACUUUGAGGGCAUGCUUGCAUAAUAUACCUGACAUAUAUGAAAGAUGUUAUUCAUCAAAUUGUAUAAUAAAAAUAUAUCAUAAUUAAGAAAUUUUAUACACACCUAUACAUUCAUACUUCCUGCAAGAACAAGUGAUGGUCAUAUUUUCAAUGUUGAACACAACUGUUGCCCCUUGGUCUGAUUGCAUAUGUGUAACCAUAUAUGUGAAGAUUGACCCCUCAACUUUUAACAAUUGACCACUUAAUAAAAAUUGAUCUUUAAAUUCAGCCCUAAAUUUAGAGUACAUUCUCUUUGUAUAUGAUUCAGCUGCCGUCUUCAACAUAGGUAAAUUUGGGCUACAAGGAACAGAGAUCUUUCGACGUGAAUGAAAAUUUUGCAUUCAACUCAUUUUCUUGAAGACUGGCAGACACCUUCUCACAUUCUACAAGGAGCUCAGAAAGACCCAGUUUUCUACGAAACCUUUUCUUGAAGAUAUUAUUUAUACCUUCACUCCUUUGAGUAGAGGUCAUAUCAGCUGUAAAUGAGUCACGAUAGAUAAUAGCCCAUUUUUCCCUCAAGUUAUAAAGGUUUGCCAUCCAAUCAUUGUCCACAAGAUUGUACUUCCGCAAUAACUCAUGCCACUUCUCAUUAAAGUAAUACUCUGAUCUAUCCUCAUAGACACAACUCUUGAAAGCAGGCAGAAACUCCUUAUGCUUAUUAAUUAUAUAUCCAAGAUGUUUAGCAGCAUUAAGAUAGAUAUGCCAUAUACAAAGACGAUGGCUUGUGUUUGGAAAUACAUAAGCAAUAGCACCUGCCAUGGCUGCAUCUUGAUCAGUGAAAAUUGUGCUUGGGUGCUUUCCUGAUAUUGCUGUUAAGAAGGUUUCAAAGAGCCAAACAAAUGAUGGAAUAGUUUCAUCAAACAUCAAGGCAGCCCCAAAAAUUAUGGUUUGCUUGUGAUGAUUGACACUAAGGAUUGGAGCGAAAGGCAAUUCAAAUUUAUUAGUUUGAAAUGUGGUGUCAAAUGACACAGCAUCACCAAAGCAUGCAUAAUCCAUGAUUGACUGACCAUCUGCCCAAAAAACAUUAGAUAUACGACCUUUAUCAGGUCCAUCUUCUUGAUCUAUUUCAACUGCAUAGAAAAAUGUAGGAUCCUCACGCUGCUUAUUCUUCAAGUAGUUGCAUAGUGUCUGUGCAUCAUUAGAUUCUAAAUACUUUUUGCGCUCACGAACAAUCUCAUUAUUGCAAUCCAUCCUUGAGAAUGGCACUUUGUCGGCUCCUCCAUAGAACUCCUUCAUGAACUCAUACACUUGGGCAGGCCUCGUUCCAGCUUCUCGUAUCUGGCCAAUUAGCUUUCUAUCUGCUUCUGUGACACAUCAUUGGGAUCUUAAUUUUUUUCUCUUAUUCGGACUAGCAAGAUAGUGAUUAUGCUCAAGCACAACCCUUUGCACUGUCCAAAUCCCCUUUUUACUGACACCUAACUGAAUACGAGCACUGCAUCGUAACCGUGUCGUGCCCUUUGAUGACUCAGUGUUCCCGUAUCUUUGGCCACUACAAACUAUAUAUUUUUGAUAUAUAGUACGAUCUGAUCGGAGUUUUGUGGUGCUCUUUCUAAUACUGAACCCAAUUUUACCGGCAUAAUUAUUAUACAUCUCAUAUGCGUGAUCCUCGGAUUUAAAGUCAUUCCAACUUCAAGAACGAUUAAAGUUUGCCCAAUUUUAUUAGUCACCUGUUGUAUAACAUAAUUUUGCAUCAUACAUUAUCUACUACUUGACAAGAAAAAUAGAAGAUCAAACAAACUACGUGACCUUACCUGAGUUGCUUGAGCCUCUACGUGAGUUGACUGAAUGUCUUCAUCUACACGUUCCAUGGUAUGGGAGUGCGUGUUGAAGUCAACAUCCUCAUGCCCAGCCACAUCAUGAUCUCCGGCUAGGAUGUCAUCCUCACCGAGACAUGAGUCAACUUGCAUGGCAGCUGCUAGGGUUAAGAAGAAUUAAUGAUGAUGAUUAAGAAGGAUUAUGUGUUUUACCAAGGGAUGUAGACGAGCAGCCUCACCACGGUGAUGAAGCCACACUGCGAUCAGGACUCACGGUCUCGCGGAUCGCAUGAGCAGCGGCGGCCUCUUCCGGCAGCGGCGAUGCGACUUUGUUGCGGCAACGCGUUCCGCUUGAUUUUCUUAGUAUGUACAGAGCCGGAGCCGAAUAGAAUAUUGGAAUAGGGAGCCACGGAACCGAAUAGAAUAUGGGAAUAUUGAGCUAGGAGCCGGAAUGCAAGCCACGAUGGACGAAGUACGCGGAGGCGCUGAGCUGUUUCUGUGUGCCCUAGGAUAUCCAGGUGACUUCCAUCCACGAUGGUUCGCACAGGAGCAUUUUGAGGACGGUUCGUACGGAAUUUUUUUCCCGAGGAGGAGGGCAAGACCGACUGCUGUGCCUCUGCCUUGGGCUGUUUUUUUUUUCCUAAAGAAAAUCCAUAUAAAGUGGCCGCUUUCCUUGCCUGCUCAAAUUCCAGAGUCUUUUACCUUUGUGUCAUUAUAAAAGAUCCAAGUUACCUACAUCGAAAUUUUAGAAAGUUCCUCAGCACCCUUGUUUGAAGUUUCUUUUACCAAUUUUACAUGUAACAGCAAUUAACGUGCAAGGCUAACCAUGUCAACAAGGUAAUACAGCUGCAGAAAGGUAAAACCAUGUCAACAAGCAAGGCUAACCAGAACAUUAUGGACAGUAGUGGUUUUGUGAACUGAUUAUGCAACAUGCUGAUAUGCAUCAACAGGGAAUAUAAAAUCAAUACCUUCAAAAACAUCUAAAGAAUAACCAAUGUAGAAGAUAAUGGUGACAGAGUUGGUAAACACUUUAUACUAAACAAACAUUUUUUUCCCAUUAGAGUCUGUUCCUUAUCUCUUAAUCCAUAUUCCAAAGAAUGAUAGUAUUGGAUUUACUAGAUACAUUGAAUUGCAAGCAGUAAACACAUAUGAUUUAUUUUAUCCUUGGAAGUGCAGGAUUUCUUAACAAAUUAUGCAACGAAAAGCAUCCAAACCUUCUUGAACCAUCAACAUGUAAAUUGAUCCCUGUUGCAAAUAUAAGUGCAACUGAAAACAAGAUAAUUUUUACUUGGUGAUAAACUUGAUACUGAAGAGCACUAUCAUGAUAACAUUUCUCUAAACAAAGGAGACCACAGAAUAUGGCAAGUAACUUAGAGCAUGAGACAGAAAUAUUCACUGCAAUGGAUAGACAUAAUCACUCCAACAAAUUUAUGCGCCACAUAAAAGAUGUCUCAACACAGUUGAGAAUCCAAUUCCUCUGAAAAAAUCCUCAUUUAUUGACAGCCUCAAGAAAAUGAUACUUUUCAGGCAGGGACUUUGCAUGGUGCUGAUAUUCCUCCCUCGAGAAAACUGAUAUUAGCAAGGAAGUAGUGGCUGCCUCAAGUGAGAAGUUCAUCUCAUCAAUUUUGGAGAGGUAAGCCCCAGCCCUCAUUAUCUCACCUCUAUGCAACAGCCUCCUAACAAGAGAAUUUAGCAUACAUGAGUCUGGAGUGCAUCCACUCUUUUCCAUUGCUAAAAACAGAUUGUCAGACUCUUCUAGCAAUCCUUCUUUGAUGAGAUUUUGUAUCAUUAAGCGAUAGGUGACAACAUCUGGAACUAAACCAUGCGCAGAGAUAGUAAUGAACAUAUCCAUAGCAUCUUCCUUUCUGCUACUUUUGAGUAAAGCAUCAAUCAUAAUGUUGAAGGUAAUAAUGUGUAGUUGAAAACCCUUAGAACAUAAACUCUGAAAUAUUUUAAAUGCCUCAUCAACACAAUUAUUUUUGCAAAGACCAUCCAGAAUUAUGUUGUACGUGUAAAUGUCCAACUGUACUCCACUAUUGAUCAUAUUGGGAUAGAGUUCUUUUGCUUCAGAAAUUUUCCCAGACUGAAAUAAACCCUGAAGUACCAUGCUAUAAGUGACAAUUCCAGGCCUAACUUCAUUGCUUAACAUUUCUCUGAAUAGUCUAACUGCAUCAUCUAUCCUGCCAGCUCUACAAUAGCCAUGAAGCAAAGUAUUAUAAGAAAAGGCAUCUGGUUUCAAGCCAACUCGGACCAUAUCAUCAAGUAACUUCAUAGCUUCCUUCAUCCUACCAGCUAAGCAGUGGCCAUCCAUUAACGUAGUAUAUGAGAUAACAUCAGGUCUCACACCUACACACACCAUCAAGUCAAGGAGACUCUGGGCUUCCGUGACUCGUCCUUCUCUGCAAAGGUUACACAUUAUUGUGUUGAAGAACGAGGCAUUGGGAUGGAUCCCUUGAUUCAGCAUUUCAGAAAAUAAUUCAUUAGCCUUCUCCCAUUUGCCGACAGUGCACAGUCCAUAAACUAGUGAGUUAAAAAUAAUGAUAUUAGGAGUCACCCCUUCAUAGAUCAUCUGAUUAAAUUUGAGCAUAGCCUCGUCCACUCUUCCCGACUUGCAAAGUGCAUCUAUUAAUGCUCCAUAGUUUACUCCAUCAGGACUCAACCCUUGCUGCCUCAUUCGGUCAAAGAUAUGCAUUGCCUCAUUUAUCAUACCACCUUUACCAUACGCACAGAGAACUAUGUUAAAGGUACGAUGGUCAGGUGAAACACCAUUUUCUACCAUCAAAUCCAAGAGGCCAUGCAUGUCAGAAAGAGCUCCUUUGGUAGCAUAACCAUGAAGCAGAACACCAUAUGUAGUUACAUUAGGUUUUGUGCCCUUUUCAAUCAUAGAAUCAAAAAUCUUUCUAGCCUCUGUGCAUCUUCCACUCUUGCAAAGGUAAUCCAGCAGCAAAUUACAAGUGACAAUAUCUGGCUGAUAACCAUGUGCGGACAUUUCUUUGAGCAUUCGAACCACCUCUUUCCCCCGUCCUGAAGAGCAAUGUCCAUGGAUCAGACAAUUAUAUGUCUGAUUGUCUGGCUUAACGCCUUUAUGAACCAUCUGCCGAAGGACACCCUCGGCCCUAUCAACAGCUUGAGCUUUGCACAGGCCAUUGAUGACUGUGUUGUAGGUCACAACAGUCGGCAAAAUCCCCUGGUUAUCAAUUUCACGAAAUAGGUUGUAAGCUUUGUCUACCUGACCCUCUGUAAAUAAGCCAUUGAUGACAAUGUUGUACGCCACGACAUCUGGUGGGCAUCCACCACCUCCGUCAUCGGCCAUCAUGUGGAGCAGCUCAAGUGCCUCCUCACCUCUCUUUUCGUUGCAUAAACCCUUUAGAACUGUGCUGUAUGAAGCUGCACCUGGCGUGCAGCCAAACUCAGGCAUUCGUCGGAGCAAUAUGUCCAUAGCCUCAGACACGCACUUUCUGUCACAGAGACCUUUGAGUAGUUGACUGAUGACUAUGCCAUUCACCCUCCAGCCUGUCUUAAGGAUGAGGCCAAAGGCGGCGAAACCAAGCUCCAGGCGUCCCAUGCGGCAGAAGCAGUUGAUGAGGAUGCUGUAGGUGUGCAGGUCGGGAGCUACCUUGUUGGAGCAAGCACGGGCCAUCCGGUUGAAGAGGGAGGGGACGAGCUCCGAGGAGGAGGAGCCCCUGCCCUGGGCGCGAGAGACGGCGGUGAGGAGCUGAUUGAUGGCGAUCACCGAGGCCGGCCUAGCGUGGUGUAGCAAUUCACCGAACAGCUUGACGGCGUCGUCGAGGCAAAGGUUUCCCGAACGGACGCGGCCAGCGACAGCGCGCUCCAGCUCCAAGCAUCGGUCGCGUGCGGCGCUCACGCGGCGGGACAUGCCGACGGGGCACGGCUAGCGGCCCGGAGAGGACACGAACGGGCGGCCCUGCAUCCGCCUCCGGGUCGGUGUGGCGGCUCGAUCGGUGGGGGCGGAGCAGCGCGUGCUGCGGCGUGGAGUGGGCGAGGGUUGGAAUUGGAAUGCUGCCGGCGGCGGCCGCGGUUUAUGCAUUGGUUUGCUGGGGCGGCGGGCAUCAGGUGCCGGCGGGCGCCCGGGCGGUGGCCGUCCGACGUAACGUGACGAACAGAGGCAGCGAGGAGGACGGCAAGACCGACUGCUGUGCCUCUGCCUUGGGCUGUUCUUUUUUUCCUAAAGAAAAUCCAUACAAAGUGGCCGCUUUCCUUGCCUGCUCAAAUUCCAGAGAGUCUUUUACCUUUGUGUCAUUAUAAAAGAUCCAAGUUACCUACAUAUCAUCGAAAUUUUAGAAAGUUCCUCAGCACCCUUGUUUGAAGUUUCUUUUACCAAUUUUACAUGUAACAGCAAUGAACGUGCAACGGAAAAGACGAUUUUGCCUUUAGUUGUAGAAGACUUCAAAUUUUUGGUUCUUACUCUAGUGCCACUGUACAUUCUCAUAGUUUGUAUGUGUGGACAUGUAAAUUCUGCCUCAGCAUAGCAUGAAAAUAUAAUAUUGCAAGAUAGCCAAAAAAAUUCAACAAUUGAGAUGAGACAACCAUAAUUAGCAUUUAAUUAAAUAGAAUCAGUCAUAAAAGAGGUCCAAAUAUAUCAUCGAUGUACAUAGUCAGCUUGAUUGCAAAGUCAAGUUUGCACAUAAAAGAUUGUCACAUUGACCUCAUUACUAGUCUAAACAUUGUUUGGUCAUGCAGACCUCAAGUACUACAAAAGCAUGUCAUACGGAUGCAAACUCAUCAAAGAUCAAGUGUUUUCUUGCUUCUAAUUUCUAUGGCCGGACUAGAAGGGGAACUAGGGACCCUGCUGCGGGUUGACAUGGCUGGACUAGUCUUGUUUGGAGUAAGUUUUGGCAUUUGUCUUCUUGUGAUGCUCCUGACGUGUGCUCUGGUCAGCCAUGUACUGCUCAUUUGACUCAUAAGGAUAUGUAAUCGCCAAAGGAUCUAGCUGAUUUGAACCUGUUGCAGACCCUCUAAUAAAGAAAACAUUAGUAAACCUAUUAAAGUAGUAAAAAUAUAAUUUUAAAAAAUUAUCUUACCUCACAGAGGGGUCACUAGCCUCAGCUGUUGAAGUAUUGGAAGUACUCUUUUGUUUCUUCGCACCAGUUGAUGAGGAUGAUUUGUUCUUCCUUUUCUUUGAUAGAUCCGCAAUAGUAAGUAGAACUGGAAAGACCAUCCUUUGUGCAUGUGUUGCAGGCAUAAUAUUGGCCUCAGUAGUUAUCGGCGUUUUACCGCUACGCCCACUGAGGGAUACCUCUGAGGUGGUAAGUUGGUAGAUAGGGUGUCGCCGAGAUCAAUAACUUGAAGGUGCAAGGAACACAAGGUUGGUUUGAGCCCCCGAGAGCGUAAUACCCUACGUCCUGUGUGGUUUGUAUUUUCUUAGGUGGUGAUUAGGUGAUCUCCUAUUUGGCGAGGGUUCUAUCCACCCUUAUAUAGUUCGGGGUAAAGGUUUAUAUGUAAGUCCUAGUCGGGUACAAGCCCAGGAGUCCUACCCGAGUACUUUUCGGGUAGUUUCCUACCGUGUCUGACUAGUUUCACUAGUGUAUGAGUAGUCCUACUGCACUACUGCACUAUGAGUAGUUACAAUAGAUGUAGGGCGUGGACCAUAUCCCAUCCCUUAUCCUAGGAAAAGUGUUGUAUGCAUGGUCCCGUGACCCCAGGUCUGACAGUAGUAGCUGGUGCUAUCUUCUUUUUAGGUGGACCUCUACAUGAUAAAUAUGUUAGCACUUAGUAAUGCAACAAACAUGUAAUAAUAAUUAUAAACUUUGGCUUCCAUAUUACCUUUCAGCAAACAUUGCUGCUAUGCCGUUUGGGUCACCAUCCUUACAAGUGUACCAAUAAUAUCCAUACUGAUGGCAGAUUAGACACCGAUGCCUACCCUUGGCUCCUUUGCUGCCCUCUCUACAGCUCCCUUGUAUCUGUUUUGCCUUUUCCUACUAGCUGUUGACUUAAACAAUGGAGGAUGCAUGAAGAAAUCAUGUUCUGCUUUGAGCCACAUGGACUUGUUUGGUAUAGCAGGGAUUCUACCAUCAUAUGCAGCCCUGGACAUCUGUACUGAGUAGUAGUUGUCCACAUGAUCUUCUAUCUUCUCUCCAGGUAUAGAGGUGAUAAAAGGCAAUUGCAUGCUUAUAUGGUAGUCCAGAAACUUCCCAUGCUCUGUACGAACAUGUCCUUUCCUGUAGGUUCACAACAAACCUGUAACUAGAACCUCCCCCUUGCUGUAACCUCUGCAAUCCCAUCACCAUAGCUACAAGGAAACUUAUCUACAAUUUCAUCAAUAAGGUCUUUAAAAUUUAUGGUGUCUUAAUCAACAACUUUGUUAAUGCCAAACCAUAGUCCUCGUAUAGUUGGACUAAUUAUCCUGAUUUCUAGAUUGAAACUGGUCUCGAUGUCAUUCCUACACAUGAACAUACAUAUCUACACAGUUUAAUCAAAUCCUAACAAUACCAAACAUGGCACUGAUGUUAUGCAAUUGAAGGCAGAAAGCAGAACUCAUCCAUCUGGAAGCCAAGCUGGUCGCUCGUCCGCCAUCCUUUUAGAAACCGCAGCAAAUCACAACAAAUCGGGCCCCUGCAACCACAAGCGACCCGGCUCGCGUCUGCAGGCUCCCCGCUCAGGCGCCACGGCCGCUCCCUCGCGAGGCCCGCGCCCCUGCCCGCGAGGACCCCACCGUUGCGAAGCCAGCCUCCUUCCUCCACGCGAGAUGCAGCGGCUCCUUGUCCUCUGCUCUGCUCCACUGCUCCCUCAAUUCCUAUCUAGGGUUUGUCGUCAGGUGGAGAAUGGAGCUCUAGAGAACGAACCAGAGAAGAGUGGAGGUUGACCGAGAAAGUGAUGGGCAAUAGAGUAAUUUAAGGACCAGUUGGAGCAUCUGUGUUAGAAUUAAACGGUAGGGUGACGGAAGUGGCACACAACUAAAUGAAACUUCGAACAAGGGUACAUAGG
This 78973-nucleotide long non-coding RNA is filed under the name Panicum hallii. Its description in RNAcentral is "long non-coding RNA (PHAL_LNC000760)". Lineage: Eukaryota; Viridiplantae; Streptophyta; Magnoliopsida; Poales; Poaceae. The record is from RNAcentral.